AAAUCAGCUGUUUUCCCGCAUUGUUUUUUUCAGUCAUUACCAAAUUUAGAAAAGCUUGUUGUUAGUGAAGCUUCCUUUGGUCAUAUAUUCCAUUUUGAAGGAUUUGAUGGUGAGAAAAAUCAUGCAUCGGCAAUCACUUCAUUGAAUGAAUUGGUGCUGUCUGAACUUCCCGAGCUAACACAUCUUUGGAAGGAAGAAUACCAACCCAUACCAGCUUUCUGUGAAUUGAGAACUCUUCAAGUGCGGGAUUGUGGCAAAUUAAAGAUUUUAGCGCCAUCAUCAGUGUCUUUUGAAAAUUUAACAAGUUUGGAAGUUACAAGAUGUCAUGGAUAUGUCAAUUUGAUAGCAUGCUCAACAGCUAAGAGCCUAGUGCAACUCACAAGAAUGACCAUAACUGAUUGUGAGAUGAUAGAGAGAAUCAUAGCGCGUGAGUCUGAGGAAGUGAAAGGAGACAUUGUUUUUACAGAACUGAAGGAUUUGCAACAAAGUUGUCUACCAAAUAUGGCUAGCUUCUGCUUAGGGGAUCACAACUUGGAAUUCCCUAUCUUUGAGAAAAUGAUUGUGAAAGGAUGCCCUAAGAUGAAGAUUUUCUGCCAAAGAGAUUUAAGCAUACCACAACUGCAAGAAGUGAUAUGGCCGAAAGAUGAAGAUGAAGAAAAAGGGUGGUGGGAAGGAGAUCUUAAAACUACUAUAACACGGAUGUUUGAAAAAAAGGUAUGCAUCAAUUGAAAAGAUUUCCCUAUUAUUAUUUAAUUUAUCGUUUCUUUGGCUCAAUAAUCUUUUUAAAACCAUGCACACUCCUAAUAACUUUUAACCUUACUUAAGUGUUUACUGCCAAGGUUUCUGAAUUACUUUGGACAGAGUAAUGUACUACAAAUGUCACAAAAUUCCUAUUGAUGUUUAUGAAGACAUUUUAAUGAAACAGAUGAAACCAAACAUAGACCUAUACGGUUUGGUGUCAUUUAAGUAAGAAACUUAUUUAAAUAAAAAUCAGUGUGGUUUCAAAUGUACAAACUUGUAUAAAGUAAAUCAUGUUUUUAUGGUUGCAAGUUAUGGUCGAUUGUUCCAAGUAAAGUGCAAAAUAUUUUUCUUUGGAGUAAUUAAUUGGGAAUUGAAUGGAUUAUGUUAGGACUUUUACAGGAAUUAGAAAAUCAAGUACUCAGGUUCCCACCUUGGGGGAUAGUUACAAUUUAGUUUGAAGCUAUUAUUUAUAUAUAUUUUUUUUGCUGUUAAAUGAAAAUAGUACUUUAGUUUUUUACCAUUUCAAUUGUUCUUGUAUUAUAACUGGCACAAUUCAUUGGAUUUCAUAGGUUGGAUAUCAUGGUUUAGAGCAUAUUAUACUCUCUGAGUCUUCUAAGUUGAUGGAGAUAUGGAGAAGUGAUCCUCAAGGAACUAUAGGCUUCAAAAGUCUUACACUUAUAGAAGUUUAUGAUUGUAGCAGCUUGAGGUGCCUAUUUACACUUUCCAUGGCUUUGGAGCUAGCACAACUCUGUGAGAUAAAAGUAAAAAAUUGCAUUGUGAUGGAACAUACCAUCACAGAUAACGGACCAAAUGAAGAAGUGUCAAAUAAGAUCGUGUUCCCUCUGCUAAGCUCCAUAACUCUUGAAUCUUGUGAGGACUUGCCAAGUUUCUAUCAAGGAAGUAAAAUAUUGGAAUGUCCAUCCUUGGAAAAAGUUGUUGCAUCCAAUUGUCGUCAGAUGUUUGCAUUUGCAUCUACAUUUUCAAGAGAGCAAAGAAUAGAAAUGAUUGAUGAUAUUAAUGGAGGAAAUACAACAAGGCUUGCCAAGGGAACUGCCCAUACUGCAUUUUUCAAUAACACGGUUAGUAUAUUUUGUUUGUGAAGAUAACCUUUGCUUUUUGUUUUUUUCUUCUUACAUUUUAAAAGGAUUUUAUUGUGAGAAAUUAAUCAUCAUGGUGUUUUUCUUUUCAAAUUAUUUAUUUUGCACCACUCAAAUAUGGUUUUUUUUCUCUCCACAUGCAUUCCUCUUUUGUUCAAUCUUAAUGGUCUUAGGCUUUUAGUCAGGAGAUCCUAGCUACCUAAACUUAAGCAAGCAUCAAAUAACUAAUGGCCAUCUAUCCAACAGCUUAUUUUCUCAUCUUAUUAGCACUAGAGAUAGUUUUCCAAUCUCCUAUUAACCUGACAAUUGUAGAGCUUCUCUAUUUAGUAAGCUCAUAAAAUUAGAUUGAAUAGACGUAUAAGAAUACAAGUCCAUUUUGUCUUUUCUUCUUGAAUGGAAAAUGCGUCUUACUUAAACUACAGAAUAGGCCAAGGAUAAUAACAAAGUAAAAAUCUUAGCCUAAUUUUUAGGUUUCUUAAACCACAGAUAAACAAGCACAAAAGAUAUGCUUUUCAUUGUUCAUCAAAAACCAAAGGCAGAGAGAUUAAUUAUCAGUGUGGUUUUAGGGAUUCAUUUUCAUUACAUAAUUGAUUAUCCUCAUAACUUAUUAUUUACAUACCUAUGCUCUAGAACCAUCUUUCACUUAUCUUUUCUUUCUUUAAUUAGACUGUGAACAGUUUUUGAUGCAAUGAGGAUUGUGUAUGUAGGUUGUGUGUCCAAAUUUGGAGAUUGUGAAACUAUCCUCAAUUGACGUUCAGAUGAUAUGGGAUGACCAGCUUCUUGAAAUGCCUUCUUAUGUUCAAAAUUUAAGGUUAUUGAUUGUAAAAGGCUGUAGAAACAUAGAAGAAAUUAUCUUUAUAGAAGGAUUAGCAGAAGAAGGCGUGAUGAGCCAACUAUUCCUUAAACUUGAUAUUUUGGAAUUGCAUGACCUUCCCAAACUCAUGAGAUUCUGCCGUGGAAGUUAUUUUGAAUUCCCCUUGUUAGGAACUCUUGUAAUAGAAAACUGUCCUGCUUUGAAGACCUUCAUCUCUAAUUCUACAUUGACAAACUAUACUCAUAUCUGUCAAACUGUGGAAGGAAACAACUUGGAUAUUGAUUUGGCUCCUCUCUUUAGUGAAAAGGUGAUUACUCCAUCUGCCUUUUUUUUAUCAUUCUUCUUUUUCGUUAUGUAUUCUCAAGUUUUAAAUGUUUGAUUCCCAUUUCCCUUUUACAUUUUUUUCUUCGAUAUUUAGUUGUUGAACAUGAAGAUCUAUGAUCUGCUAAAUUAUCAUUUGUAUAUGCAAUUAUUGACACAAUCAAUAAAUUUAGCAGGUGGCUUUCCCUCAAUUAGAGGAGUUGCAAAUCAUAAGUAUGGCAAAUUGCAGAAAGAUAUGGCCUGAUCAGCUCGUUGGUGAUUCAUUUUGCAAACUAAAUCAUCUCAAGGUGUUAAGAUGCAAUAGACUGUUGAAUAUUUUUCCACUUAGUAUGAAGGCCAGACUCCAGAAUCUAGACGAGUUCCAUGUAACACAUUGUUAUUCAUUAGAAGAAAUAUUUGAACCUGAAGUGCUCAAUGCCAGCGAAUUACAUGCAGUGACAGCCACUCAAUCCAUUGUGGAAGAAACAACCACUAAUAUUGUAUUUCCUAAACAAACAUAUCUAGAACUUCGAAUGUUGCCCAGAUUGAGGAGUUUCUACUCUAGGAUAGAUACAACGGAGUGGCCAUCAUUAAAGAAAAUGCAGAUAUAUGGAUGUGACAAAGUGGAGAUAUUUGCUUUAGAAAAUAUUCUGGGUUUUGGAGAAUCAACAAAUUGGCAACCUCUCUUUUGGGUCAAUGGGGUAUCAAAACCAAAAACUAUGUUAAACUUUUAAACAUUUAGCUUGCCCUUAAUGUUCAAUGUCAAAUUUAUAUGGUCUGUUGACUCAAAACUCAAUCAAAUCCAAAUGAAUUUGCCUUUUUUCUUAGAAUUCUCACAAGCAUGUCUUAGUAUUGCUCCAAUAUUGUAGCUUGCACAUAAGAUUUAUGUUAAAAUAACUAUAUUCACUCAAUUAUGGUGUUCUCAUCUUGCUUAACUCAGAUAUAUGCAUCAUAUGGCACUCUUAGAUUUGGUUUUAAGGGGUGUUUCGAAACAGAUAAAUUUGACGGGGCAAUUUCAUGUACAUGAAAUAAUGUUGGUAGGAGGCAAUUUAUCAAAAAAGCUGAAGAAUUUUUCUAUACAAUGAUAUUCACAAAACUCAGGCAAUCUAACAUUUGAAUUGUGUCUCCUCCAUUCUCAUGUUGCAUUCCCACCAUAAUAAACACAAAGUCUCACUAUUAGCUUCAAGAGCUCAGUUUGUUAGAAAAAAUGGAACAUUGAGAUCUUCUCGAUGGUUCACCUAACGUAACUUUGACUUCCUAUAUUGGGGUGGUGAGAAUGUUUUUACAUCAUCGAUUAGUUCAAAAUCUUUAACUUUAGUCUAACACAUUUGUUAAUUUCCAGGUUACAUUCCGUAAUCUGGAAGAAUUAACAUUGGAGUGCAAUGGCAUUAUGAAAAAGAUAUGGCACGGACAGCUUAGAACAGAGUGUGAUGAAGGGAAGAGAUGUAUUGUUUUUACUCGACUAAAGCAUUUGAAACUAAGCUGUCUACCAACACUAGCUAGCUUCUGCUUAGAGGAUCAAAUCUUUGAAUUCCCUACCCUAAAGAAAAUGAUUGUGAGAGAAUGCCCAAAGAUGAAGUUUUUUGCCAAGGAGAUGUAAGCACACCACAGCUGCAAAAAGUGGUAUGGACAAAAGAUGAUGAAGAAGAAAAAGGGAGGUGGGAAGGCGACCUUAAAACUACUAUAAAACAACUAAUUGAGGAAAGGGUAAGCAUCAAUUUAAAAGAUUUUCUUAUAUUGCUUUGGUUUCUUAUUUUCAUUUUUUCAGCUGCAUGCGUUUGCUUUUCCUCAUCACUCGAUACUUAUUAAAAGGUUGUUGGGAAUGAGGUGGGAUCCAAACCAUACUAUUAUAUAAUGUAGAGCUUCUAUCUAUUUUCCCUUUUAUAAUUGGAAAUUCACUACAAAAAUGGAUUUUUGGUGCCUUUCAAUGCGUAACUAAUUUCAAAAAUUUAUGAUUACAGAAUGUCGAAAUUUCUACGGACAAUUGAAUUUAGCCUUUAAUUGCUCAAGUUGGAAGAAGAAAAUAUUGUUUUUCUACUUGUGAGACUACAUGUUCCUACCAUUGAAGUGAGAUGGUAAGUGGAUCUUCUACUUCCAUAAUCUUUAUUUUCUUUGCCAUGGCCCACUUGUUUUAUUUUUUUUUUUUCAUUUUUGGAUUGUCAAUCGAAAGCAAGACAAGAAUUUGUUUAUUUAUUAAUUUGUAGAAGAAAUGACAGGGAACUAGUUUGUUUGAAAGUGAUUGAUCUAUAUACCCUUAUUAAAUUAAAAAAUUAUCAGUUAUUUUUUAUUAUCAAUCAAAUUAUUUUGUAGAAUUUGUGACAUUGAAAAUGUGAAAUUGUAAUUAGUAAUUUGGAAAAUGUUGAUGGCUAAUGCAUAGUUGAAAUGUACGAAUGUGUAGCAUGAAGCUGGUCAUUUUCUAAUUGGAUAUUUGCUGGGGGUUCUUCCAAGGUUAUAGAAAACCAAGCAUAGAGGAGUUGCACGAUGAUAGAUUUUGCAGCUGGAAGUGUAGACGAGUCUCUUCAAGUGAGUAAGAAUAUUAUUGUCAUUACUUUGCUUCAUUAGUCUAUACUGCCAUACAGAUCGAGAAAAAGAAAUAGCUUUGAUGCCCUAUAUAUUGUCAGUUUUAUGCUAUGAUGGUAAUACUAUAACUUGCUAAGACAACUUAUAAGUUACGUAUAUCUGCACAUCGCAGGCCAGUGUUCGCACCUAGCAUUUCGAACAAGGUAAGAAACUCUCUUUUUCUCCAGUUCCGUAUAAGCUUUGCAUAGCUCCCGCUACUUUGCAACUGCUGCGUUCUGCCACGGUCAUUGUUUGAGGCCUAGCCCUCCCUUGGCCUUGAUGGCUAGAUGCACGCCGCAUCAGCACCAUUAAGUUCCUUGGUUUGAGGGCUACCAGAAGAAUUGACCGAAAGCUCAUCCAAAAAACACAAUAGCAAUCAGAUAAUAGAUAUGACAUGUAGGAUCACAAGAGAUGCAGCAACUUCAGCUGGUACUAACAAAAACUAUUAACUAUAAUUUGAUAGUCUAACAGGAAUAAUUUGUUCAUCUGUUCUUUUGUAAUGCUGUUUCUUUUAAUAUCAUACAUAGGUGAUGAAUAAGGAAAAGAAAAAUUAUUAAAGAAUGAUAUGGUCUCCAAGUCUUAAUGGUAUAAAGUGCUCGGAAUUUGGUUUAUUUGCAGUAUUUUGACUUCCGAAAGAUGACUGAAGGUGAGGGAAGAAACGUGGGAAGAGAGGAAUAACAGGCAUGCUAACCUUGGCAUUCCAUACAACUCAAGCUUUGUUCCAGGUCAGAGCCUCAUAGGUUCAGUCAAACAAAGUGCAUUCUACUAUCCUAAGACACACAAGCACACCGCUUGCAAUGGUUUUAGUAAUCAUAUGAAGAUGCUGUUUUUGGGAAGGAAAUCUAUCUGGUCCCCAAGCUGCAUCCCUCAAACUGCUGUCCUUAGUGAGAGUGGCCUGAGCAAUUGUGGAGCGGUUUCCACAAGUAACAAUUUCCUCAAUUUAUUGCCAAUGAUGUAUCUAGCAUUUGAAUCAAGUAAUGUGCUGUCUUCUGUACCUCAUGUACAAAUCGCAUGUAAGUUGGCUAUAAUUAGAACCAUUUAGUUCAACUUGAACUCUUCGCUAGUUCUGUUUUUAACAGGAUCCCAUGAGCAAUACAAGAAGAUUGUGCAGUCUGCAAAAUCUAAUCUUGGUCCAUUCUUGCUCAACUACUGGAGGAAUUUUACACAAAAACCUUGGUUUUUGAUACAAUUUUUGUACCACACAAACUUGCGAACAAACCAAAGCAUAUUAAACCCUCAAAACAAUGAGAGAAAGAAGAGAAAAAAAGAACCAUGUAAAUUCAAUAUAAUUAGGUUGAUACACAACUGCUUUGCUCAAAAAGAUAACACAAAAGAGUUCAAAGCCCAAAAUCGAAGAUCCCUAAAAUUAAAUUAUCCUAUAUGAUAACAUAAAUGGUUAUUUCACUUUCUAGUUUCUUUGAAUGUGCUAUGUCUGAAGUUGCAUUUUCCAUGUGUAACUUAAAAUACCAAAAUGUAAUCUUUUGUUUGUAAGGUCCAUCAGCCAAGACUCCUCUGUUUCAAAAACUCCCAAAGGAUUGCAAAUUUUCCAUACGGACAUGGUUUGAUCUCUCACCCUUCUUACACCAUCCUUUUGCUGAUAAUCUGACAUUUGAUUUUAGUUUGAACUUUCUGCAUAUUGGACCCCAAGCCCAAGGCCUUGCUGUUUAACAUCCCAACUCAAGAACUGAAAGCAAAUAAAACUUAAAAAAAAAUACAAAAAAAUAUAACAAAAAUAGACCAAAUGCUAGCAAAACAGAGAAAAAGAGAUAUUUAUUUCGCGAUUCCUGUAAGCAAAAGUGAGAAAAGGCUAAAUUCUUCAAUUAUAUCAGAAACAAUCCAUCCAUCCAUGAUAAAAUGCCAAGCAGACAAAUAUUUGUCACUCUUAUUUUUAAUAAGAAAUAAAAUAAUGUCCAUUUUAGGACAUGACCCUUAUAGUUAUGGAGUGGAUGACAAAUAACCAAUGAUAUCAAGUUGAUAAUCCCACUCCCCAAAUAUGAGAAAUUCUUUUCUUCUUGAUUUCCUUAAUCAUAAAAGAUAUUAUGUUUAAAAAUUAAAUAAAUUUCAAAUGAAAUAAAUAAAAACAAUCUUCAAACCUUAAACCUUUGAAGAUUCUUUAUGUUUUAUCCUGAGCUUUCUGGAGUGAUUUUAGAGCUUCAAUUUUUUGAAAAACUCUUUGAAUCUUUCAUUUUUUUAAUGUAAAAGAACAUUAAUAAAAUUGUUUAAGAUUAUACAAAUAAAAUAUGAGGGUUUGAUUACUUACCAGAUUAUAUAAAAAUUGAAGGCUUGAAGCAGUGUACUAUAGCGGGAUUCUAAAGGCAAGACAAAGAAAAGGUCACAUAUUCUUAAUGUCCAAAAUCAGAUACUUUACUUGUGCAAAUAAUCAAAGUUUGAUUCUACAUUGUAACAUUUAAGUUACUGUUAUUUAUUUCAGUUUCCUGUCUUUGGAUGAUUUCUUUUGCCUUGUCUUCUUUGCCACCCAUUGCAUCUUUUUCUUUUUCUCCAUACCAAAACAUCAUCAUUCUGUUUGUUUUCUUUCUGAAAGCAAGGAAAAUUAAAAGAUCGUUCAUUCCAAGAUUCCUAUAAGAGAAUGUGACAAUAUGUGACAAAGGCAAGUCUUUCUUUAUAAUUGAGAUUGACAAGUUAUUCAGCUUGCUUAAUUCAAUCUGAGGAACCAAUCCUUUAUUUAUUCUGCUUAUUCUAAAAAAUAAAAUAAAAAAAGAUGAAAAAAUUAGAAACAAAAGAUGUUGGACUUUAAUCCAAAACUAACACCCAUUUCUAUUAUCAAUAAAAAAACAAGAGAGCAAAUGGGACCAAACUUUUAUAUUGAAGCUUCCAAUCUUUUCCUCUUGCUUAAUUUAAUGGAAAACAUACAAAAAAUGCAUUGCUAAUUACGUUUUUCUCUUUAAUUACAAUAGUAAAUUUAUCUUCUUAAAAAUGUUAAUUCACAGGAGUAUUUUAAAAUCUUUUAUAAAAAUAUUAAAUCAAGAGUUGUUGAGACAUCAUAUUCUUUUCGUUAUUGCAGUUGCACCAAAUUUGUUUAAUAAAAUCUUAUGCCUUGUGCUUAUUAUACAUAAAAGAAAUAAAGAUAAGUCUUCCUUUAUACGUGAAUGACCAUGCGAAGCUUCCUAGGUUUAUAAAACCCAGACAGACACAACGUUUCUGCUCAACUCAUCCCUAUUAUCUUACUUUAGCGUCCUUUGCUCUUCCAUUUCUCAAAACCCUUUUAUUUUCUUGCUUUGAUCUUCAAUCAUCUUUUCCUUUUCCUUUGUUUUUGGCUUGUUCCGUUGUUUUUUUCUCAUCUCUUUUUCCCCCACCUCAAAAUGUCGGCUUCUCACAGUCCUCUACUUUCCACCCAAUAAACCAGAAACUUUCACUUUGAUUCUUAGUUGCCUCUUUCUUCAUAGCUACAGUUAUUGGAGCAAGCCACCAUUUCCAGUUUCUCACUAUUCUGAUCAUUUUCCUUGUUCACAUAGUUUUUGAUACACUAGUUUUUGCUAUUUUUCAUUUUUUGGUCUGCUCGAUCCCCUGUUUUCUCUUGUUUUUUUUUUUUUUUUGCCAUUUGCUUUACUUGUCUGUGGAAUUAAAAAAAAAAUGGAAGAUGUUGGUACUGGCGCUGCUGCUAACGUUUCUUCGGAGAUUGCGAGAGGCAUCUUCCAAGAAAUUAAACGUCAUAUCAGAUAUAUAAUCAUUUUCAUCAAAUGUGAUCUUACAGAAAAUCAUUAAAUACUACAAAAUCAAUCUUUUAUUUUAAUUUUUAUAGGAAAUUGCAUAUAUCAAUGACUAGCUAGUUGAAGUUAUAUAAAUUAAGUGGUAUGUAAUACUUUAAAAAAAAUCACUUGCAUGUUUUGAUUUCUCACUAUUACAUAUUGACAUUUAGUCACUUAACUUUUCGAAAACUUCUAUUUUUAGUCAUUCAAUAUUAAAAAAUAAUGAUUUGGUCACCAAUAUUUGUAAAAAUUCUUUUUUUGACCUCUUAAUAAUUAGAAAAAAAAAGGUCAAUCAUUAGCUUUUUUAGAGAAAAAAGGGUCAACCAUUGGCUUCUAACAACUUAGUGAUAAACAUGAACUUUCACAAAGUUUGAUAACCAAAUUGUGAUUGUUUAAAAUUAAAUGACCAAAAUAAAAACUUAUGAAAAAUUAAUUGACUAAAUGUGUAAUUAAAAAUGGAGUACAUAUGCCUUGUUUGAGUUCAACCCCUACUUUUAAUUGUGAAAACUGGAAAUGAUUGUAACUAAAAAGAAGUACCAAUUGCUUUUAACCCUAGUAAAUCUGCUGUUUCCCCAAUUGCUUUCCUUGAAAGAUUUGACAAUCUAGAAAAGCUUGUGGUGAUUUCUUAUGAAUUCAAAGCGCUAUCCUGCAAUGAAAGAGAUAGUGGUACGGAGAUAUAUGCUGGGACACUGCCGAUGAUCAGAAGCUUAAAAUUGGUUGGUCUUCAUAAUCUCAAACAAUUAUGGAGGCAAGACGUGCAAGUAGAACGCAUUCUCCCUAAAGUGGAAACUCUUAAAGUCGGGAGUUGUGACAAACUGAUUAGUUUAGGAUCAUCCUCAGCAUCGUUUCAAAUUCUCUUGACAUUGGAUGCGUGGAGCUGCAAAGCAAUGAUAUGCUUAGAUACACCUUUAGCAGUCCAAAGUCUAGCCCAACUUAAAAAAUUGAGGAUAAGAGAGUGCAUUUCAAUGAAAGAAAUAGUUGGAAACGAGGGUGAUGAAGCUACAUACGACAUUGUUUUCAGCAACUUGAAAAGUUUGGAACUUUGUGGUUUACCACAAAUUAAAAGUUUUUGUUCAGGCAACCACACAUUUGGGCUUCCGUCUUUAGCAGAAGUAAUUGUGAGCAAAUGUCCUGAAAUGGAGAUUUUCUGUAAGAGAGUUUUAAAUGCGCCAAUGCUGCAAAGAGUACAAGAAACAGCUGAAGAUGAUAAGGGACAUUGGGAUGGUGACCUUAACAGUAUUGUCCAACGAUUGUACGUCGAAAAGGUACCUAUGUAAGAAAUUAUUUAUCUAACGAAUUAGUUGUCUUUGUAAGGCUCUUUUUUGUUGCUGGAUGCUUUUGUUUGCUUAAUUUAACUUUAGAUUUUCUAUUUUUAUUUCCUUUUUGUUUGUGGGUACUUUUGAACUUAAUCUUUCUUUCUUUGAUGGAUUUUGUAGGUUGGAUACUAAGGAGUUGUGUAUGUAGUACUUUCCAAAUUUUCUAAGUCAAUAGAAAUAGGGAAGGAUAAUCUUGAAGGAGUUUUAGAUUUCAUAAAUCUUAAAUAUUUGGAAAUUUACAAAUGUAAGAGCUUCAACUCCAUUUUUACUGUUUUCAUGGCUUUGGAGCUUCAGCAAUUGAAAGAGAUAAAAGUAAAAAAUUGCCAUAUGAUGGAGCAUAUUAUCACAAAUGAAGAAACAGAGGAAGCGGCAAUGAAUUUAAUGGUGUUACCCAGGCUUAAGGUUUUAACUCUUGAGUCAUGUUCCAAUCUGAGGAGCUUUUGUUUGGGAAGAAUUACAACGGAUGUUAGUCCAAUUGUUAACAUUAUUAAAAUUUUUCUGUUAUUUAUGUUGAUAUGGUAUUUUUUUUAUUGAUGUGGCAUGAAAUAUGAUGAUCUGUUACUGAUGACAUGAUAUGUUUUUUAUUUAUUUCACAUCAUUCUAUUUAAUGUUUUAAAUUAUGGAAUACAGAAAUUCAAUUUUUUUUAUUCUCACAACACUAUUUUUCUUAAUCCUAGAAACCUAUUUGUAUUUUUUAUUUGUUUCUUAUGCAAUUGUGUUUAAAACCAUUAGUUCACGUUGGAUAAUUCAAUGUCCACAUUUGUAAAAUCCAUUUUAGUACUUGGUCAUGUCAUAUUGACACUGCUAUUACAUCAUUCUUGAAAUACCACAUCAUUAGUGUGUCAUCGUAUUCAAUAUCACAUCCAAUGGGAAAUUGUGUUCUCUAAGGAUUUCUUUUUUUUGUGAAUUACACGACUUAUUGAAUUAAACAACAAUAAUAAAAAUUAUCUAAUUCUUGAAAUUAACAUAAAAGUCUCCAUCUAAGCUUGAUUCAACCUGAAAGAAAUAGUAAGGCUGGACCUAGUUAAAUUUAUAAAACUCAUAUAUAUUCACCAUUGACAUUAUAUUUCCCCUUCUGAGUUCUAAUUAACAUAUUUGAACUUUUCUGGUCUCUUUUAACUUUUUUUUUUAAAAAAAGUGAGUUUUAUUUUUUUAUAAUAUUAUGACAAGUCUUUAACUCAAUUGACAGAAUACUUUUGUGACAUAGAGUACUUGGUGGGGGAAUUUAAUUGUACAUUUACAAAAGUUAUACUGUGCAUCAAGCAGAGACAGCAAGCAGAAUCAGUAAAGGAUCCUAACAACGUCAACCAAAAAACCAAAAGGAUCCUACAAGGAAAAGCAGCGAUAAAGCCUAUAAGAAUCAGAUCUCUCGACAAUACCCUGUGUAGGGCAAAACCUAAGAGGACCUCCUAAAAAGUCUCAGGAGCACGGGGCUGAGACAAAGUCUCCCAUCCAAUGAGAAAUAAGCAGAAGACUGAGCAGACUCUGGAAAUGCUUUUCCAAUUUCCAUGUGCACUCCUUUGUAAUUAUUGGUGAGAGUGAGACAAACACUUCCACGUUUCCCCAAUUUGAAUUCCAAUGGCAUCUCCUACCUAACACUUUCUUGUCUUUCUUAAUUUCUUUUCCUUUAUUCUAGUUUAUUUAUUUAUUUUUGGAUAUUAGUUGUGAUGGCUUAAAAAUAAAUUACCAACGUAUGGGGAUAGUCUUUCUUCGUAAUUGCCUGUAGCUUUUAAUCUAUUCAUCUUGAUAAUGAAUGAUAUUAACUUAUUUGAUGAUGACGUGACAUAUUUAUUUAACAUGAUAAUAUGAUCACGUGACAUUUUAUAUUUUUCAUGUCAAUAUUACAUCAGUAUCAUGUGUCAUAAAAAUGAUAUAACAUUUUAUAUUAUAGUAACAUUUUAUAGCUUUUAAGUGACGUUUCAUUGGAUGGGAAAUUUUGCUUCCCUCAGAUUGUUUAUCUUAGCUCUUGGUUUUUAGGAGGUCCUCUUGCGUUUUGGCCUAAAACAGGGUAUUGUCGAGAGAUUUGCUUCUCAUAGGCCUUUUCUUGUGAAUUCCUUGGCAGGAUCCUUUGUUUUUGGUUGACCUUGUUAGUAUCCUUAACUGAUUUUGCUUGCUGACUUUGUUUGAUGUGCAGUGUAACUUUUGCAAUUGUACAGUAAAUCUACCCUCAGUAGCUGUUUUAUGCCACAAAAGUCUUCUACCAACAAGUUAAAGACUUGUCAUCGCAUUUUCAGUAAUGGAAGAAUAAAAUUUGCUUUUCAAAAAAAAAAAUUAAUGAUAAUUAAUCAAUCAUUAAUCAUAAGAACUUAGUUGAUACAAAAUAAAAUAUAAAAGUUUGAUUGAAUGUAAUAGAAAAAUAAAAAUUUAUUUGAAUUUUCAUAAAUAAUUUUGGAGUUUGAUUUUUUUUUAUUAAACUAGUUGCUUAAGUUAACAGGUUAUAAUUUUUAUUCGGGAUGAAAGGAUUUUUUGUAUUUUUUCCUGUGUUCAUAUAUAUCUGAUUUGUGAAGUUAGUUCAAAUUAGUUGGGCGAAGUUGGGGUUCCCAUAACUUAAUCAAAACUGCUCUCUCCAUUGCAGCCUGACGUUAUAUAAUUUUUUCAUAGAAUUUUGCUCUCCUAUAUAUGUAAAAAAUUUCCACUUCCUUCAUUUUGCCUUGAUGAUCUUCGUUGCAAAUGUCAAAGCUAAUAAUUAAAGCAUCUCAACAUGCCAAUCAUUUCAUUUUGUUGAUUUAUUUCUUAGUUAGGUUUUUACCAAAGUCACAAAUAUUUCAACAUAUAUUUCCUUUUACCAAAGGCGCGCACAUUGGGUAAGAGCACUUCACUCCAAAAUCACUUUGUUAAAAUCAAUCUUAUGGUUUUUUUUCUUUUUCUUGCCUUUAUUUUUUCCUCACCAACAUCUUUGGAUUUGGCGAGUCUUUAAUUGCCAAUUUAAUCCUUUAUGCGUGACAGAAACGGUCUAAGAAAUUUGUAGCAUCUGUGUCUGCAAAAGCAAGGGUUGGUUGGAUUUGAAUGCCCCAUCAAAGUGUGAGUUUCCAACAAUUUCAUAGACUUCUUACCACCUAAAAUUCUUUUUCUUCUAGUAAAUAUUUGGGCAGUGCGUGAAGGUUUAAAUGGCCAAUCCAAGCCUCAGGUUUUAACCUUAAUUUCAUUAUAUAUUAAUUUGUUUAUCUUGGUAAUGAAUGAUAUACGAGUUAAUGAAUUAUUCAAUACAACCUGUACAAGAGUUUUUCGAUUCUAGUUGUUGUUGGAAUGAUAGUGAUUAAAAUUUUAAAAAAUAAUUUUACUAAACCUAAUCAAUUAAUUAAUGUUAGAUUUGUGGAGCAACAACCUAAUCAAUUCUUGUCUUUCUACAAGUUCUCUUUCGUUCUAGUAUUAAUUACUUAUUUGUGUAACUGUUACCGCGGCUAAAAGAGCAUAAUUAAUAGAAAAUUGAUUGAAUGACAUUACUUUCUUAUUAAUUUAUAGUUAUUUGUAGCUUUCAAUGUCUGUCUUGAUAACACGCACAAUAUUUUUCAAAUAUGGUAGGUGCCGUAAUGAUUCUGUAUAAAAAUAUAUUUAAAAAAUAAAAAAAGAAACUAUAUAUAUUUGUCUUGUCUGCCACUAUUCUUUUUCUUUCUUCUGUUAAUCCAUUUUUUAAUUUAUAUUGGCAUGGCAUAGUGUUUUAAUAAUGAAAACUUAUGACAAGUCUUUCUUUAUAAUUGCCGAUUGUCAUGACCCGUGGGUUCAUGGGUAUUUAAUUAAAUUUUAAGUCUUUCUUUAUAAUUGAUGAUCGGAAAAAUUUGAAACUUAAUGUGAAAUUAUGAUUAAGAAAAUGUGAGUGAAGUACAGCUCAAUUCAUCCAUUGAUUAUUGUUUGACAAGUUGCAUUAUUGUAUUAACCAUUAAUUUUGUUAGAGUGGUUAAUGACAUCUACUUUAACAAUAAGGGAGAAACUUUAAGUAUCCAUAUGAAUUUAGUCUAAUAUUAUAUUGAACUUUGGAUAUCACUAUGAAUUUAAUCUAAUUUUAUAUUGAAACUUUAGUAAAGCUAUCUCAUUUUUAUACGUUUAAAAGAAAAAAAAAGGGUGCAAGUGGCAUGAGCAAGUGACUAGCAAUAGUAUAUGUUUUAGAUGAAAAAGUUCAUUAAAGAAAAGAGAACGCUUGCUCUGUUGAAAUGCCCACCCCAUUCCUCCUUUGGCAUAAAAAGCAAAGGUAACCAAUCUAAGAGAGGAGGUGAGACAAAUAUUAACAUUAUUCUUUCAUGGCAUUAAUUUGCACACUGACUUUGCAGAAUGAAAUUUCAGAGAAAUUACCCUGACCAUAUUUUAUUGAUACAGGACGCAACACAAUUAACCAACAUGAGCUGCAGGUCUUGUACAAAGAAUAAAGGAACCAUCAACAAUCAUAGAGACAGACUUUGCCUUGCCUUUUUUCCGUUUAGUUUGGCAUGUUCAAGAGGGAGAGCGAAUUAAGCAUUAGACUUGGAGAGUUUUAAGGCUCCAUAUAUAGUGGUUGAAAUAACAGACAUUUUGAUCAACUUUCCAUAGUUGGAAAAGCAUAAUUGGAGCAUAUUUUGAAAAGUAAAAGAAUCAUAUAUAUAUAGCAAUUGAUAAUGAUAAAUAAUUUUAUAUAAUUUGUAAAUCAAGAAAAAAAAAGACUUAUAAUAGUCUUUUAAGAAAGUUGUGUUCAACCAUAUAUAUUUUUUUAGAUUCAAAUUCAUCAAUUCUUAAUUAUGUACUGCAAAAUAUCCAUUUCUUUAGGAUUGAGUCUUAGACGUUUUGAUUUACAUUAUUUUUGUUUCUAAGUUGAAGUGUUGAGACUUACUAACUCAAAUAUAAGAGAAUCAUUUGGACGAUUUGUAUAUUUUCUUUUAAAAAAGUUGUUAAUUGUUUUCAACAUACUCAUACUUAGUCAAACCUUAAAAAAAAUUAAUGCAAUCAAUAUCUAAUAUUCUUAUGGUAUUUCUAUUUAAACUUAUAAUACCAAAUGUAAAACUAUAAUGCAUAAAAUAUAAAAAUUAAAUAUGAUAUACAAAAUUAAUAAUUUUUUUUUAUAUAAUCAAGAUAUUUUAAAGACUAUAAAUUCAAGAUAAUUUCCUUUGAAUUAAAUAAAAAACAUAAAACACAUAAAAAUAUACUCAAGAUAAACUCCUUUUAUAUAAUUAGGAUUAAUAAAAAAUGAUAUAUUAAUAGAAUUUUAAGUAACAGUGCAACACUAAAACUUAUAUUUGAGAACUAUAAAAUAAUUUAUUAAUUUUUAAAAAUUAAAAUUAUAAAAAUAAAAUACACAUAAUAGAAAAAAGAAGAACAUGAAAAGUAGAAGAUGGAAUUCAUAUAUGAUAUAACAAAAAAGAAAAAAAAAUAUGGUUGAUGGUUUGUAGAAAUUUGAAAAAGAAAAUCUACAAAAAUUUAGAAUAGAUGAGCAAAUAGAAUAGAAAUGAAAAAAAUAAAUAAUAAUAAUAAUAAUUGAAAGAAGAAAAUGGAAAAACACUUUAAAAUUGAGUGAGGCAUGUGAGUUUAUUUUGUUAUUCUUUAUUUAUAUUAAUUAUUAAAUAAAAAAUUAUUUUGAGGGGGUCAAUAAGAGAAUAUAUAAAAAAUUUGAAAAAAUUUAUAUGAUAUAGAAAAAAUUUUAAAAAUUUGGGGGGUGCUGUGUAAAGGAGAAUAUAUAUACUUCCACAUAGGACCAACUGGCAAAGCAUGAUUGAUUUGUAUUAGUAAAUGUUUAGAGAUUGACGAUUAGCCUUGAUCUGCCAUAAUUCAUUGAAUCACGUUGGAAUGGGGGUGGCUCUGAUUUUGCCCGCCUUUUUCGGUCCAAUGGAAUCCUAAAAUUAUUAAAUAAAGGAGGGAAUGGAAGAGCAAGCCAAAAUGAGGAUGAGUCUUUUGGUGAAAAACCGACAACAGCUUAUUACUAUAUAAUUUUCUUCUUUCCUCUCUUCUAUAAUCCAUGAUGGGCAAUGAAAACUGAGGGUGACUCUUUUUUUUUUUUUGUUUUAAAUGAAAUGGCAAAGGCAAGCGGUUCUUUAUAAUUUUGGGUGAGUCUUUAUAAUUUAAAACAGAUUUUAUUUGUUUAAUAAAAUCUCAUGGCAUGUGCUUAUUAUAUCUUUUUAUAAUUAUUCUUAUAAAAAGAUAUAAUAAAGACUUAAGGUGAGUCUUUGUUUAUACUUGAAUGGCCGUGAAAAGCUGCGUGCCAGUUUCAUAAAACCCAGUCAGACACAACGUUUCUGCUCAACUCAUCCCUAUUACCUUACUUAAGCGUCCUUUGCUCUUCCAGUUCUCAAAACCCUUUUAUUUUCUUGCUUUGAUCUUCGAUCCUCUUUUCCUUUUCCUUUGUUUUUGGCUUGGUCCGUUGUUUCUUUCUCAUCUCUUUUCCCUUCACCUCAAAGCGUCGGCUUCUCACAUUCCUCUACUUUCCACCCAAUAAACCAGAAACCUUUCACUUUGAUUCUUAGUUGCCUCUUUCUUCAUAGCUACAGCUAAUGGAGAAAACCACCGUUUCCAAUUUCUUACCAUUCUGAUUAUUUGCCUUGCUCAUAUCGUUUAUUGAUAUAUUCGUCUUGCUGUUUUCAUUUUUGGGUCUUCUCGAUCCCCUGUUGUCUACUUCUUCUGUCAUUUGCUUUGCUUUUCUGUUGAAUUAAAAAAAUGGAACCUAUUCUUACUGGUGCUGCUGCCAACCUUUCUUCGGAAGCUGCAAAAGGCAUCUUCCAAGAUAUGAAACGUCAUAUCAGAUAUGUAAUCAUUUACAAGAAAAAUGUCGACAAGUUUGAGGAGAAACUUAAGAUGUUGAUAGCAAAAAGAGCAAGUCUGCAGCAAGAGGUUGAUGCUGCAGACAGGAACGGGGAGAAGAUAAAAGCGGACGUCGAGCUUUGGCGAUUUACGGUGGACGAGGUAAUCACUGAGGAGGGGAAGAAGGUGAAGGAUCUUGAAGACAAAGCAAAGAACAAGUGCUUCAUUGGCUUGUGUCCCAAUAUCAAGUCUCGCAACCAGCUUAGCAGGAAAGCAGAAGAAGGUGUCGCGACUAUUGACGACCUUAUCCAACAGUGUCAAUUUAACGGAGUGGGAUACCGUGAUGUUCCAGAAGCUAUAUUGGACGCAUCUCCUAAAGACUUUGAGACCUUUAAAUCAAGAGAAAAGGUUUUCAACGAUAUCAUGGAGGCUAUAAAAGACGCUACUAUCAACAUGAUAGGGUUGUAUGGGUUGGCUGGUAUGGGCAAAACAUCACUAGUCAAAGAAGUUGCCAGACAAGUCCAAGAGCUUAAGUUAUUUGAUUCGGUGGUUACCGUAAUUAUGACUCAGACGCCGGACAUUCAGAACAUUCAAGAUCAAAUUGCAGAGUUGUUGGGUCUAAGACUUGAAGACAAGAGUACGGUUGUAAGAGCACGAAGAUUGUGCGAAAGGUUGAAGAAAGAGAAGAAGGUUCUUGUUGUUUUAGAUAAUGUUUGGAAGAAAUUGGACCUCGAGGAAGUUGGAAUUCCAUUUGGAAACCAACACAAGGGAUGCAAGAUAUUGUUGACAUCAAGAGAUCAAAAUGUUCUCUCCAAUGGGAUGGAUGCUGAGAAAACUUUUUCAAUUGGUGAUUUAGACGAUGAAGAAGCUUGGGACUUGUUUAGGAAGAUGGCUGGGGACUGUGUUGAAAGUGCUGAGUUGCGAUCUAUAGCAAUUGAGGUAGCCCAAAGGUGUGCAAGAUUACCGCUGGCCAUUGCAACAGUUGCAAGGGCAUUGAGAAAUAAAAGUUCAUUUGCUUGGGAGGAUGCUUUACGGCAACUACAGAGGCCUUCCUCAAACAACUUCACUGGGAUAUCCGCUGACGUAUAUUCAGCUAUAGAGUUGAGUUACAAUCAUUUAGAAAGUGAUGAACUUAAACAAGCUUUCCUACUUUGCAGUCUACUGCGCCAUGAACCAAUUGAUUACUUGUUGCAAUGUGCCAUUGGUUUGGGUUUAAUUAAUGGUGUCAGCACCAUGAAGGAAGCACGAAAUAGGUUGUUAACAAUGGUGAGUAACCUCAAAGCCUCUUGUUUGUUACUUGAUAGUAACCUCAAUGAUCGUUACUUUGAUAUGCAUGAUCUUGUUUAUGAUGUCGCCAUGUCAAUCGCUUCUAAGGACAAUCAUGUCUUUGCAUUAACCAAGGAGGAUGUUCUGAAAGAUUGGCCAGAUGGAGAGAUAAUGAAAAAGUGGAACAAGAUUUUUUUGCGAUAUCCUAGAAUAAUUGGAGAGCUUCCUGACGAGUUGAAUUGUCCAGAGGUUGUUCUUGUCACUUUGGCUAGCAAAGAUCUUUCCCUCAAAAUGCCACCUACCUUCUUUAACAAAACAAAAAAUCUUAAAGUCUUGGAUUUUAGUGGUAUGCAAUUUUCUUCUUUACCUUUGUCAACUUGUCUCUUAACAAGCCUUCAUGCAUUGUUCCUAAAUCAAUGUGAAUUGAGAGAUAUAAGCAUUAUUGGAGAGCUUAAGAAUUUAGAAAUUCUUAACCUUUCAUAUUCUGAUAUCAAAAUUCUGCCUAAAGAAAUUGGGCGACUGGUUAAAUUAAAAGUGUUAGAUUUAGGUCAUUGUACUAAACUCAAAAUAAUUUCACCAGGUGUCUUAUCAAGCUUGUCUAGAUUAGAAGAAUUAUAUAUGGGUGGCACCUUUAUUCAAUGGGAAGUAGGGGGACAUGCCAACCAACGAGGCAAUAUUGCUAGUCUUGCUGAAUUGAAUACUCUGUCUUGUUUGACCACUUUAGAAGUCCAUAUUCCUGAUGCCGAGGCCAUGUCAAGGGGCUUGCUCUUUAAAGAGUUGCAAAAGUUGGAAAGAUACAAGAUUUUCAUAGGAAAGGAAUGGGAAUGGUUUGGCGAGUAUGAGUAUUCAAGGACUCUGAAACUCAAGUUAAGUACAAGUAUUGAUCAUUUGGAUCAUGGAAUUAAGUUGCUACUGGAGAAAACUGAAGCUUUAUAUUUAGAUGACCUUAAAAGUGUCACGAUUGCAAUGCAAGGGUUCAAAGAUAAAGAAAGCUUAUCGCAUUUGAAGAAUCUCCAUAUCCAAAAUGAUUCAGUGAUCAAAUAUAUCAUUAAUGAUAAUGGUGUAGUUGAUAAAAAUGAAUUUCUUCAAUUACAAUCUUUGACACUUCAAAAUCUACCUCAGCUCAUUAGCUUUUGUUCUGAAGACGAAAACGGCUCUACCUCCAGGGUUCAACAUGAGUUGCCUCUAUUUAGUGAAAAGGUAUUUAUUACUUUUCAUUUUUCACUCAUUUCAAGGCAUAUGUUGAUCUCAUUUAUUAUUUUCUUAACAUUUUCUUCUUAUGAACAGCAAAUGUUCUCAAAUGUUAAAUUAGUAUUAUUUUAGAAUCUCCCUCCUUCGUUUUUUUGCUAAUUGACCUUGAAUAUCUAUUAUGAGUCAAAACAUAUAUUGAAUAUCUAUUUUAAAUUUGAGACUCUAUAAUCCGUUUAUAAAAAUUGUCUAGUGCUAUACUGAUCCUUUGUUAAAGUUAUAUGUAAGAGCCUAGCAUAAUUGUAAGACGAGUAAGGGCAUAGUUAGAGAUCUGAGAUUUUGUUCAUUCAGAAAAAUAAAUUUCAAUAUGUAUCUACAUUCUAUAAAAAAACCGAUGCCUUCUCCUCCCUUUAAAAAAAAACAGGUUGCCACAUUGUGUGAAAGCCAUUUCCUUUUGUUUCCAUUUUUCGCUACCAUCCACGGUUGAUAAACCCAACCAUGUCAUAGUGCCCAUUUGAAAGCCUGAACAUCAACAAAGCCCACUUCAGUGAUUGUUUAAUACAUUAGAAAUCACUUCUCCUUAAAAUGGAAGUAAUUAUUUCUCCUGAACUUAGUUGCCAUUGAAUUGGCAAACCCAUUCCUUCCUUUUUAAUCAUAGAAUGUUAUGUAAUUAUGCUAAAUAAGAUAGUCUUUCUUCUGUUGUCUUUUUCUUUUUCUUUUUCAUGCUAUUUUUAAUCUAGAUUAAUUACAUGUCUGCAGUCGUUGUUCCCUUGCUUGGAGAAUUUGCGGUUGUCCUCAAUUAGUGUUGAAAGGAUAUGGCAUGAUUCUUUCUGCAAUCAUGAGAAUUUGACAAGAUUGAUCAUCCAGGGUUGUGGCAACUUAAAACGUUUAUUAUCAUUUUCUAUGUCUAGGAAGCUAGUGCAUCUCAAAUGCUUUGAGAUAAUUGGAUGCAAGUGCUUAAGAGAGAUAAUUUUUGCAGAGGAUACAGAGGAAGAAAGCAAAGAUACGAUUUUAUUUCCUCAAUUAAACUCUCUAAAGUUACAGGAUCUUCAGCAUCUCAUUGGAUUUUGGUUAGAACGUCGGAAUAUUGAAUUUCCAUCCUUGAAGUCACUAAAGAUAGAGAAAUGCCCGGAACUCAAGGGGUUCAUAUACGAAUCUACAAUGGAAGGGAGCCAAAGUUUUUCUAGUCAAGUUCUCUUUGACGAAAAGGUAGAGUAUUGUUAGCAUUCUUUAUUAUCCAUGUUUUCCCAUUGCCAUGCUUUUGGACUUGAUUAUAGGAACAAAUGCUUCUAAACAUCUCAUUAUUUGGCAUGAAUUAAUUACAUACAGGUUGCAUUUCCUAGUUUGGAGAAAAUUUCUAUUUCCAAAUUGAGAAACAUGAAGAUGAUAUGGCAGAACCGACUCGCUGCGAAUUCCUUUCACAAACUACAAGGAAUGGAAGUUGAAGAAUGUGACGAGCUAUUGACCAUUUUUCCAUCUAAUAUGUUGAGAGCAUUUCAAGGACUGCAAACUCUAACAGUUCAGAAAUGUGUUUCGGUAGAAGAAGUAUUUGAAGUUGGAAGGUCAAAUACGGAAGAAACAGGUGCUGUCACCACUCAACUAAGGGAGUUGUAUAUUGGGUAUCUACCAAGCCUCAAGAAUAUUUGGAAAAAUGAUCCCAAAGGAAUUUUCACAUUUGAAAAUCUGCGGGUAAUAAGUGUUUGGGAUUGUUGCAGUCUGAAGAAUGUAUUUCCAGCCUCAGUAGCCAGAGUUCUUCCACAACUUAGAGAUCUUCACAUAAAUGAUUGCGGAGUGGAAGAAAUUGUUUCCAAGGAGGAAGGAUUGGAAACAACUAUCACUUUCAGGUUUGAUCAAGUAUGCUACCUUCUUCUUUGGCUGCUACCACAACUCAAAUGCUUUUACCAGGGGGUGCAUACGACGAAGUGGCCAAUGUUAAAAAAGUUAAAAGUAUUUGGCUGUGACAAAAUGAAGAUACUUGGUACAGAACGUCUCAACAUCUCAGACACGGCUAAAGUCGAUGGACAACUUGAGUCCAGUUUAAUCCAACCACCGCUUUUGUUGGCUGAAAAGGUAUGCAUGUGCCUCCACCUCCACUCUUUCUCAACUGAUUAAGGUGCUAACGUGUACGUGAAUAGCUAUUUAAUAGGCCCUCGUAAUGUACUAGCUAUAUUUCCAACUUUUUAUUAACAAGCUAGAGUACCAAAAAUCAAAUGUGAUCUUAUAAAAAAUCAUUAAAUACAACAAAAUCAAAUUUUUAUUAUUGUUAUUAUUUUUAUAGGAAAUUGCAUAUGUCAAUGACUAGCUAGUUGAAUUUAUAUAAAAAUUUAUGAAAAAUUAAGUGACUAAAUGUGUAAUAAAAAAUGGAGUAUAUAUACCUUGUUUGAGUCAAACCCAUACUUUUAAUUGUGGAAUAUGGAAAUGAUUAUAAGUAAAAAGAAGUAUUCAAAAGUUUGAAAUGUAAUCUGAGUGUACCAAGACUUGCGUACUAGCAUACUGUGUUUGUCUGUGCACUUGUUUUCUUUUGUUAGUACAAUAAUUUUUGCAUUGUUGAAAGAAGAACAUUGACUCCAAAACUGUUACUUUAUUGGUUUUCAGGUCAUCCCUCAAUUAGAAAAAUUGUCAUUAAAUAUUGAUGACAUUAAUGCAAUGAUAAGUGAUAGUCAAUUUUCAAGAAGCCUUUUUCGUGAAAUAAAAGUUCUUAGGGUGUGCAACUCUGGUGAUGAAUCUGUUGUUUUCCCAAUUACUUUCCUAGAAAGAUUUCACAAUCUAGAAAAGCUUGUGGUGAUUUCUUAUGAAUUCAAAGAGCUGUUCUGCAAUGAAAGAGAUUGUGGUGUGGAGACAUAUGCUGGGACACUGCCCACGAUCAGAAGCUUAAAAUUGAUUGGUCUUGAUAAUCUCAAACAUUUAUGGAAGCAGGACGUACAAGUAGACCGCAUUCUCCCUAAUCUGGAAACUCUUCAAGUCUACCAGUGUGACAAACUUAUUAGUUUAGGGUCAUCCUCAGCAUCGUUUCAAAAUCUCUUGACGUUGAAUGUGUGCAGCUGUGGCUCAAUGAUAUGCUUAGUUACAUCUUUAGCAGUCCAAAGUCUGGCCCAACUCAAAAAAUUGACGAUAAGAGAGUGCAUUUCCAUGAAGGAAAUAGUUGGAAAUGAGGGUGAUGAAGCAACAUACAACAUUAAUUUCAGUAAGUUGAAAAGUUUGGAACUCUGUGAUUUACCACAAAUUAAAAGCUUUUGUUCAGGCAACCACACAUUUGGGUUCCCAUCUUUAGAAGAAGUAAUUGUGAACAAAUGUCCCGAAAUGGAGAUUUUCUGUAAGGGAGUUUUAAAUGCGCCAAUGCUGGAAAGAGUACGAGUAACAGACAAAGAUGAUAAGGGACAUUGGGGUGGUGACCUUAACAGCACUGUCCAACAAUUGUACGCCGAAAAGGUACUUGCUCAUUUUAAUUUAUCUAACCAAUUAGUUGUCUUUGUAAGGCUUUUUUUGUUGGUGGAUGCUUUUGUUUGCUUAAUUUGAUAAGGUUUCUAUUUUUAUUUCUUUUGUUUUUGUGGUUACCUAUGAACUUAAUCGUUCUUUUUUGUUGGAUUUUGUAGGUUGGAUACAAAGGAGUGGAGUAUGUAGUACUCUCCGAGUUUUCUAAGUCAACAGAAAUAUGGAAAGAGAAUCCUGAAGGAGUUUUCAAUUUCGUAAAUCUUACAUAUUUGGAGGUUUACAAUUGUAAGAGCCUGAAGUACAUAUUUACUGUUUCUAUGGCUUUGGAUCUUCUGCAAUUGAAGGAGAUAAAAGUAAGAAAUUGCCCUAUGAUGGAGCAAAUAAUCACAAAUGAAGGAGCAGAGGAAGCAUCAAUCGUGCUGCCCAGGCUUGUCCUUAUAACUCUUAGGUCAUGUUCCAACCUGAGGAGCUUUUCUUUGGGAAGUAUUACAAUGGAAUGUCCAUCUUUGCUAUCUGUUGAUGUAGAUAAUUGUCCAAAAAUGUUAGCAUUGGCAUCUACAUUUGAAGGAGAGAAGGAUAUAGAGACAGUUGCGGCCUUUUUCAAUGAUAAGGUUAGUCUCUGCAUGGUUUCUUAACAUUUAAAACGCUUUUCUUUCCAAAGUUUUUGAUGCAAUAAGGAUUAUGUAUGUAGGUUGUAUGUCCAAAUUUGCAGAAUGUGCGACUAUCCUCAAUUGACGUUCAGAGAAUAUGGGAUGACCAACUUCCUGAAAUGUCUUCUUAUGCUCAAAAUUUAAAACAAUUGACUGUCGAGGGCUGUAGAAAUCUAGAAGAAGUUAUCUUUAUAGAAGGAUUACCAGAAGAUGGCAUGAUGAGCCAAAUAUUCCCUAAACUAGAAAUUUUGCAAUUCGAAGACCUUCCCAAACUCGCGAGAUUCUGCCAUGGAAGUUACUUUGAAUUCCCCUUGUUAAAAAAGCUUAUAAUGAUGAACUGUCCUGCAUUGAAGACAUUCAUCUCCGAUUCUACAGAGACAAACGAAACUCUUAUUUGUCAAAAAGCGAAAGGAAACAACUCAGAUAUUGAUUCCCCUCCUCUCUUUAGUGAAAAGGUGAUUACUCCAUUUGUCUUUUCUUUAUCACUCUUCUUUUUUUUUUUUUUAUGUAUCCUCAAGUUUUAAAUGUUUGAUUCCCCUUUCCUUUGUUACAUUUUUUCCUUGUUAUUUAGUUGUUGAACAUGAAGAUCUAUGAUCUGCAAUAUUAUUGACACAAUCAAUAAAUUUAGCAGGUGGCUUUCCCUCAAUUAAAGGAAUUGGGAAUCGUAGGGAUGGCAAACUGCAGAAAGAUAUGGCCUGAUCAACUCGUUGGUGAUUCAUUUUGCAAGCUAAAUGAUUUGUGGGUGUACAAAUGCAAUCGGCUGUUGAACAUUUUUCCACUUAAUAUGAGGGCAAGACUCCAGAAUCUAGAGGAUUUCCGAAUAAGAGAUUGUGAUUCAUUAGAAGAAAUAUUUGAACAUGAAGCGCUCAAUACCAACGACUUUUGUGAUUCAUUAGAAGAAAUAUUUGAACAUGAAGCGCUCAAUACCAACGACUUACAUUCAGUGACUGCCACUCAAUCCAUUGCGGAAGAAACAACCACUAAUUUUGUAUUUCCUAAACUAACAUACUUGGAACUUUAUAUGCUGCCCAGAUUGAGGAGUUUCUGCUCUACGAUACAUACUACGGAGUGGCCAUCAUUAAAGAAAAUGUGGAUAUAUGGAUGUGACAAAGUGGAGAUAUUUGCUUCAGAAAAUAUUCGGAGCUUUGGAGAAUCAACAAAUCAUCAACCCCUGUUUUGGGUAAAUGAGGUAAUUGAACACAAAACUAUGUUCAACUUUUAAACAUUUAGUAUGAUCUUGAUUUUCAAUGUAAAUUUAUAUGGUUUGUUGGGUCAAAACUCAAUCAAAUCCAGAUAGAUUUGCCUUUUUUUUUUCAUAUAAUUCUCACAAGCAUGUCUCAGUAUUGCUCCAAUAUUGUAGCUUGCACAUAAGAUUUAUGUUAAAAUAACUAUAUUCACUCAAUUAAGGUGUUCUCAUCUUGCUUAACUCAUAUAGAUGCAUCAUAUGGCACUUUUAGAUUAGGUUUCAAGGAGUGUUUCGAAAAAGAUAAAUUAGAUUAAACAAAUUCAUGUACAUAAAAAUUUGGUAUUAGGCAAUUUAUCAGAAAGAAUUUUUCUAUACAAUGAUAUUCAGAAAACUCAAGCAAUAUAACAUUUGAACUGUGUCUUCAUCAUUCUUGUGUUGCAUUCCCACCAUAAUAUACACAGUGUGUCUCACUGUUAGCUUCAAGAGCUUAGUUCGUAGAAUAAAUGAAACAUUGACAUCUUUAACUUUAGUCUAACACAUUUGUUAAUUUCCAGGUUACAUUUCCCAAUCUGGAAGAAUUAAAAUUGGAGUGGAAUGACAUUAUGAAAGAGAUAUGGCAUGGACAACUUAGAGCAAACUUUUUCUACAAACUAAAAGUUCUUGAGCUCAUUCACUUUCCUGAUCAAUCAGCUGUUUUCCCACAUUGUUUUAUUCAGUCAUUACCAAAUUUAGAAAAGCUUGCUGUUAGUGAAGCUUCCUUUAGUCAUAUAUUCCAUUUUGAAGGAUUUGAUGGUCAGAAAAAUCAUGCAUCGGCAAUCACUUCGUUGAAUGAAUUGGUGCUGUCUGAACUUCCUGAGCUAACACAUCUUUGGAAGGAAGAAUACCACCCCAUACCAGCUUUCUGUGAACUGAGAACUCUUCAAGUGCGGGAUUGUGGCAAAUUAAAGAUUUUAGCGCCAUCAUCAGUGUCUUUUGAAAAUUUAACAACUUUGGAAGUUUCAAGAUGUCAUGGAUAUGUGAAUUUGAUAACAUGCUCAACAGCUAAGAGCCUAGUGCAACUCACAAGAAUGACCAUAACUGAUUGUGAGAUGAUAGAGAAAAUCAUAGCAUGUGAGUCUGAGGAAGUGAAAGGAGACAUUGUUUUUACUGAACUGAAGUAUUUGCAACUAAGUUGUCUACCAAAUAUGGCUAGCUUCUGCUUAGGGGAUCACAACUUGGAAUUCCCUAUCUUGGAGAAAAUGAUUGUGAGAGAAUGCCCAAAGAUGAUGAUUUUCUGCCAAGGAGAUUUAAGCACACCACAACUCCAAAAAGUGAUAUUGACAGAAGAUGGAGAUGAAGAAAAUGGGCAGUGGGAAGGCGAUCUUAAAACUACUAUAAAACGGAUGUUUGAAGAAGAGGUAAGUAUCAAUUUAAAAGAUUUUCUUAUGUUGCUUUGGUUUCUUAUUUUGAUUUUUCAGUAGCAUCCGUUAACUUUUCCUUGUCACCCCAUACUUUUUAAAAGGUUGCUCAAAUGAGGAAACCAUACUAAUAUAUAAAGUAGAGCUGUUGCAGAAUUAUUGGAGCAUGCACUAUCGAGAAGCCAGUGAUUAUUGUCUGCUGAGUUAGAGUUUUCAAUCGUCAUGAACAACACUUCCUCUGCAACUUCAGCUUUCUCAACUUGCUUUGCAACCUGUGGUUUUUUGUCUGCAGCCUCAGCUUUGUUCUUACAGACUUUUUCUACAUGCCCUAACUGCUUACAAGCAUUGCAUUUGACUCCAAGUCUGAACCAGCGUUAAGCUUCAGAAUGGUUCUUUUUCUUGCAAUAGGAGCAGACUGGAAACUUGCCCCUUUUGUUUUGGGAUCUUCCAGCAGCUGUACCAGCUUUGUCUUUCUUUUUAUUUUCAUUUGAAUUCUUUUUAAAUGAAGGAUCAGCAGGGGCCUUACCUUUUGCACGAGCUGCCAAUGCAUGAUCAACUCUUUCAUCUCUUCUUGCUGCCUUCCUCUGUUCAUCAGCUUCCAAAGCACUAACCAAGUCUGAUAUUGAGAGCUCUGUAAUAUCCUUAACUUGCUCUAGAGAGGUGAUUGUAUGAUCAAACCUUUUUGGUAGACUUAACAUAAUCUUCUCUACCACUUUCAAAUCAAUGAGGGAGUCUCCCAUGAGUCUGAUCUGAUUUACUAGUUUCAUCAAAUCCUCAACAAACUCACCUACGGUCUGAUUUUCUUUCAUUCUCAGAAGCUCAUAUUUCCUUUUGCGGUUUUGCAAACGCACCUGUUUGCUCCUUGCAGACCCCAAAAACUCCUUCUCAAGUUUACUCCAAGCCUCGUUUGCAGUCGCACAUCCCAUAAUCCUGUUGAAAAUCGAUUCAGACACUGCUGAAUGUAUGAAUGACAAAGCUCUAUAUCACUUUGCAAUAUCUUCUUCAUAUUGCUUCACCUGAGCCUGCGUAGCAUUCUCCUUCAGCACUGGAAAUUCAGUUUCAAACUCAACAGCAUUCCAGAGGUUAACACUUAGAAAUGCCUUCAUUUUUAUGACUCAAACUGCAUAAUUGGAACCAUCAAAAAAAGGAGGUGACUGCUGUGUAAUGGUUGAAGUUGAAGUUGACAUGUUUGAAAAAAAAGUUUGGUUAUUGUAGAUGAGACUUUGAAGGUAAUUUGUAAGUUGUUUAAAUGACUCAAAGGAUCAAUUCACAGCUCUGAUACCAUGUUCUUGUUAAUACAGAAAAGAUGCAGCAGGCAUGCAAGGACAAAGUAAAAGCAAUAGACAAAACAGAGAGCAGAACUUGGCUAAUAUCGAUCCAUCCAUUUACUGAGGAGAAAUCCAUAAAUAUAUACAAGAGCUAUUUAACUAACACUUGUACAAAAAAAUAUCCAAGUGUUUGACACAGCAUUAGAGCAAACAUGCAGUGCUUACACAUCCUAGGACAGAUGUGCAGCAGCAUGCUCUGUGAAUUACCAAACUAGCACAACAAAACAAAGUGGACACUUGUCCUGUGCAUAGUUAGACAAAAUGACAUUCAAGCUAGUUUUUAUCUCAACAAUUAUCAGUGUCUUCUGAAAAUUUAACAACUUUGAAAGUUUCAAGAUGUCAUGGAUAUGUGAAUUUGAUAGCAUGCUCAACAGCUAAGAGCUUAGUGCAACUCACAAGAAUGACCAUAACUGAUUGUGAGAUGAUAGAUAAAAUCAUAGCAUGUGAGUCUGAGGAAGUGAAAGGAGACAUUGUUUUUACUGAACUGAAGUAUUUGCAACUAAGUUGUCUACCAAAAUGGCUAGCUUCUGCGUAGGGGAUCACAACUUGGAAUUCCCUAUCUUGGAGAAAAUGAUUGUGAGAGAAUGCCCAAAGAUGAUGAUUUUCUGCCAAGGAGAUUUAAGCACACCACAACUUCAAAAAGUGAUAUUGACAGAAGAUGGAGAUGAAGAAAAUGGGCAGUGGGAAGGCGAUCUUAAGACUUAUAAAACGGAUGUUUGAAGAAGAGGUAAGUAUCAAUUUAAAAGAUUUUCUUAUGUUGCUUUGGUUUCUUAUUUUGAUUUUUCAGUAGCAUCCGUUAGCUUUUCCUUGUCACCUCAUACUUGUUAAAAGGUUGCUCAAAUGAGGAAACCAUACUAAUAUAUAAAGUAGAGCUGUUGCAUAAUUAAUUUAGCAUAGAGCUUCUAACUAUUUUCCUUUUUAUAAUGGAAAUUUACUAUAAAACUGUAGUUUUUGUGCUUUUCAUUAAUUUAAGGAACUCUUGAUUAAUUUUUAUGAUUGCAGAAUGUCAAAAAUUCUGAAAACCACUAAGUUUACCUUUUAGUUGCCCAAGUAGAAAGAGGGAAAUAUUGGUUUUGUACUUGUGAGAGGCUACAUGUUCCUUGGAUUGAAGUGAGAUGGUAAGUAGAUCUUCUACUUCCAUAAUCUUCAUUUUUCUACUCUAUUUCCAUCACCACACCUGACUGCUUUGUUUUUUUUCUCCUUCAAUUUUGGAUUGCCAAUUAAUUAAUUUUUUUAUUAAUUAAUUUGUAGAAGAAAUAACAGGGAACUGGUUUGUUUAAAAGUGAUUGAUUUAUAUACCCUUAUCAAUUUAUUAAUUUAUGAAAUUAGAAAAUUAUUACUUAUUUUUUAUUAUCAAUUAAGUUAUUUAGUAGGAUUUGUAACAUUGAAAAUGUGAAAUUGCAAUUAGUAAUAGGAAAUAUUGAUGGCUGAUACAUAGUUGAAAUGUAUGAAUGUGUAACAUGAAGCUGGUUAUUUUCUAAUUGGAUAUUUGCUGGGGGUUCUUCCAAAAGGUUAUAGAAUACCAUGCAUAGAGGAGUUGCAAGAUGAUAGAUUUGUUGCUGGAAGUGUAGACGAGUCUCUUCACGUGAGUAAGAAUAUUGUUGUCAUUACUACGCUUCAUUAGUUUGAAUUGCCUUACUGACCGAGAAAAGGAAAUAGUUUGAUGCUAAUUUUAUGUUAUGAUGUUAAUGCUAACUUGCUAAGACAUCUUAUAAGUUAUGUAUAUCUGCACCUUGCAGGCCAGUGCUCGUAGCAUUUCAAACAAGGUGAAAAGCUCUCUUUUUCUCCAGUUAGCUUCCACUAUUCUGCAACUCUUGGGUUCUACCACUGUAAUUGUUUGAGGGCCCUUCUUUGGUCUUGAUGGCUAGAUGCAUGCUGCACCCGCAUCAUUAAGUUCCUAGGUUCGAGGGCUAACAGAAGAAUUGACUGAAAGCUGGUCCGAAAAGCACAAUAGAAAUCAGAUAAUAGAUAUGACUUGUAGGAUAGCAAGACAUGAAGCAACUUCAGCUGGUACUAACAAAAACUAUUAACUAUAAUUUGAUAGUCUAACAGGAAUAAUUUGUUCAUCUGUUCUUUUGUAAUGCUUUUUCUUUUAGUAUCAUAGGUAGGUGAUGACUGAGGAAAAGAAAAAUUAUUAAAGAAUGAAAUGGUCUCCAAGUCUUUAUGGUAUUAAGUGCAUGGAAUUUGGUUUAUCUGCAGUACUUCCACUUCCAAAAUAUCACUGAAGGUGAGGGAAGAAAUGUGGGAAGAGAUGAAUCACAAGCAUGCUAAUAUUGGCAUUUCAUAGAACUCAAGCUUUGUUCCAAAGUCAGGGCCUCAUAGGCACAGUCAAACAGAGUGCAUUCUACAAACCUGAGACACGCACGCAUACCAAGUGCAAUGGUCUUAUUAAUCAUAUGAAGAGCAUCACUCGCAUCAUAUUUCUGCCUGAUACUAUGCUUUGCAGACUCUGAACAACUUUUUAUGCGUGGUCUUAGGAAGCCUAGUCGCUGAGCAUCUACAAUUUGGAUGCAUAGAGGGACUCCAUGAUGAUGUUGACAAGGUACAUUCUUCUGCUCAAAUGAUGUUGCCAUGAGGUAUUUUCAGAUUACUAACUGCUAGUGCUUCCCAUUAAUGGAAGCAGCUGGAUAAAGUACUUAGCUGGUUGGGUUACACUGCGAUCAAGUUAGAUGGGCUGCAUCGAAUACUAUUACAAUAGAAGAUGCUGAUGUUGGGAGAGAAAUCGAGCUGGUUCGCAAGCUCUAUCAGAGCAUCCCUCAAUCUGCUGUCCUUUGUGAGAGUGGCCAGAACAGUUGUAGAGUGGUUUCCACAAGCAAAAAUUUCUUCAAUUUAUUGCCCAUGAUGUAACUAGCAUUAUAAUUAAGCGUUGUCUUCUACUUCAUGUUCAAAUUGCAUGUAAGUUGGCUAUGAUUAGAACUUUGUAGUUCAACUUGAACUCUUAGAUAGUUCUGUUUUUACAUUUAGCAGGAUCCAAUGAGCAAUACAUGAAGAUUGUACAGUCUACAACAUCAUCUUGGUCCGUUCUUGCUCAUCCAGGAAAGGAAAUUCAGACAAAAACCAUUGUUUCUGAUGAUUUUUUGUACCACAGAAACUUGCAAACAGACCAAGGCAGAUUAAACUCCCAAAACAAUGAGAGAAAGAACAGGAAAAAAGAAUCAUGCAAAUUCAAUAUAAUUAACUUGAUACAUUACUGCUUUGCUCAAAAAGAUACCAUAAAAGAGUUCAGAACCCCAAAAUCAAAGAACCCUAAAACUAAACCAUCCUAUAUUAUACAGCUGGUCAAAAAAAAAAAAAACCCAAAAACAAAACAAAGAAGAAAAAGCGGACUAAAACUCCUGAGAAGCAGAUCCAAUAUCACCCUUGCCCUUUCCCAUUUUCUUUGGAAGAAGGGUUUGGUGAAUGUUGGGCAAAACACCUCCAUUUGCAAUGGUAACCGAACCCAAAAGCUUGCUUCGCUUCUCAUCAUUCCUCACUGCUAGUUAGAUGUGUCUUGGAACAAUUCGAUUCUUCUUGUUGUCUCUCGCUGCGUUGCCAGGAAGCUCUACUAACUCACAAGCUAAAAGCUUGUUGCAAGUCACAAGAAUGACCAUAACUGAUUGUGAGAUGAUAAAGGAAACCAUAGCCUGUGAGUGUGAUGAAGUGAAAAGAGGCAUUGUUUUUACCCAACUGAAGUAUUUGCAACUAAGCGGUCUACCAACUCUGGCUAGCUUUUGCUUAGGAGAUCAUAACUUUGAAUUCCCUGCCCUAGGGAAAAUGAUUGUGAGAGAAUGCCCAAAAAUGAAGAUUUUUUGUCAAGGAUAUUUAAGCACACCACAACUGCAAAAAGUCAUAUGGACAAAAGAUGAACAUGAAGAAAAUGGGUGGUGGGAAGGUGACCUUAAAACUACUAUAACACGGAUGUUUGAAGAAAAGGUAAGCAUCGAUUUAAAAGAUUUUCUUAUGUUGCUUUGUUUUCUUAUUUUGAUAUUUCAAUUAGCUUUUCCUUGUUACCCCAUACUUAUUAAAAGGUUGCUCGAAUGAGAAAACCAUACUAAUACAUAAAGUAGAGCUGUUGCAGAAUUAGUUCAUUAAUUUAGCAUAGAGCUUCUAAUUAUUAAUAAAGAAAUUUACUAUAAAAUUAUCGUUUCGGUCUCUUCUAUAGCGUAUCCAAUUUCAGAAAUUCUUAAUUUUUAUAAUUUCAAAAUAUCGAAAAUUCUAAAGAUCAUUGAGUUUAUUCUUUAAUCUGCUCAAAUUGGAAGAAGGAAAUAUUGUUUUUGUACUUGCGAGACACUACAUGUUCCUUGGGUUGAAGUGAGAUGGUAAGUUGAUCUUCUACUUCCAUAGUCUUCAUUUUUCUACUUUAUUUCCUUCGCCGUGGCUUAGUUGCUUUGUUUUUUUUUUUCUUGAUUUUCGAAUUGCCAAUUAAAAGCAAGAUAAGAAUUUGUCUAUUAAUCGUUUGCACCGAUGACAGACAAAAGAAUGAACUGCAUAGAUCGAGUGCACUUUGACUCUCCGGUAGACGUAAUCCGACCUCCACCCAAUUUCGAUCUCUCGAAACAGCGUCACGAAGCUCUACAAAGGGUUGACAAAGAGCUCUCGAAGCGCAAUUUCAGAACUAAAAGAAAGUUGAAGUUCAAUUAAUCUAAUGUGAGAUGUUAGAAGUUGUUUUUAUUUUUAUUUUUUGCAUAAAUAAAGAAAGGAAAAAAAGUAGAGGAAUGGAACAAAUAAUAUGGACAAAAUAGAAUAUAACAUAGGAAAGAAAAGAAAAAGAAGAAAAAAGAGAAAAUUAAAAGCUAAAAAAAUCAACAGAUAAUUAAUAGUAUUAUCAUAUAAUUCUACUCAUAUAAAUUUGUAUAAUUAACUUAACAAAGAUAUAAACCAUUUAAUGUAAAGAAUCCUUGACUCUAUUCCGAAUAAUAAAAGAAGUAAUUGGGAUGUUAUAUUUAAUAAACUCAAAAGUUUAAGAUUAUACAGAUAAAUUUAACCAACCAAUUAUAAUUCAAAGAUGGAGGUUUGAUUACCUUCCCGAAUAUAUAAAAAUUGAAGACUUGAAGCAGUGUGCUAUAGCAGGAUUCUAAAGGCAAGACAAAGAAAAAGUCACAUAUUCUUAAUGAACAAAAUCAGUCACUUUACUUGUGCAAAUAAUCAAGCUCUGAUUCUACAUUGUAACAUUUAAAUUAUUGUUAUUUAUUUCAGUUUCCAGUCAUUCGAUGCUUUCUUUUGCCUUGUCUUCUUUGCCACCCAAUGCAUCUUUUUCUUUUUCUCUAUACCAAAACAUCAUCAUUCUGUUUGUUUUCUUUUUGGAGAGAAGGAAAAUCAAAAGAUUAUUCAUUCCAAGAUUCCUAUAAGCAAAUGUGACAGAAGGUUAAAUUCUUCAAUUCAGUAAAGGCAUGCACAAAGACACUUGUCACGAACAAUCCAUCCAUGGAAAAAUGGUAAGCAGACAAAUAUUAGGCCUGGACCCUCCUAGUUAUGGACAGGAUGACAAAUAACAACAUUUACUUAAAAUGUUAAAAAUAUUAAACCAAGAGUUGUUGAGACAUCUAUAUUCUUUUCGUAAUUGCAGUUGCACCGAAUUUUAUGACGUUGGUCUUGGUUAGAGGCUUGAAUCUUUCUUUUUGGAUAUUUAUAUUAUUUAUUUGUUUAAUAAAAAUCUCAUGACUUGUGCCUAUUAUAUAUAAUUAUUCUAAAAAAAAAUAAAGAUAUAACAAAGACUUAAGGUGAGUCUUCCAUUAUGCUUGAAUGACCAUGAGAAGCUUCCUAGGUUUAUAAAACCCGAACACACAACGUUUCUGCUCAACUCAUUCCUAUGAUCUUACUUUAGCGUCCUUUGCUCUUCCAUUUCUCAAAACCCUUUUAUUUCCUUGCUUUGAUCGUCGAUUAUCGUUUCCCUUUCCUUUGGUUUUGGCUUGCUCCGUUGUUUCUUUCUCAUCUCUUUUUCCUCCACCUCAAAGUGUCGGCUUCUCACAUUCCUCUGCUUUCCACCCAAUAAACCAGAAACUUUUACUUUGAUUCUUAGUUGCCUCUUUGUUCAUCGCUACAGUUAAUGCAGAAGCCACCGUUUCCAAUUUCUCACCGUUCUGAUUAUUUUCCUUGCUAACAUAGUUUUUCAUAUAUUAGUUUUUGCUAUUUUCAUUUUUGGGUCUGCUCGAUCCCCUGUUUUCUCUGUUCUUUUGUCAUUUGCUUUAAUUGUCUGUUGAAUUUUUUAAAAAAAAUGGAAGCUGUUGGUACUGGAGCUGCUGCCAACGUUUCUUCAGAGAUCGCGAAAGGCACCUUCCAAGAAAUUAAACGUCAUAUCAGACAUGUAUUUAUCUACAAGAAAAAUGUCGACAAGUUCGAGGAAAAACUUCAGAUGUUGAUAGCAAAAAGAACAAGUGUGCAGCAAGAGGUUGAUGCUGCGGACAGGAACGGGGAGAAGAUAAAAGCGGACGUCCAACAUUGGAGCAACACAGUGGACAAGGUAAUCAAUGAAGAGGAGAAGAAGGUGAAGGAUCUUCAAGAGAAAGCAAAGAACAAGUGCUUCAUUGGCUUGUGUCCCAAUAUUAAGUCUCGCUACCAGCUUAGCAGGAAAGCAGAAGAAGGUGUUGCGGUUGUUGACGACCUUAUUCGACAGUGUCAAUUUAACGAAGUGGGAUACCGUGGUGUUCCAGAAGGUUUUCAACGAUAUCGUGGAAGCAGUGAAAGAUGCUGCUAUCACUAGUCAACAAAGUUGCUAGACAAGUCCAAGAGGUCAAGUUAUUUGAUUCGGUGGUUAACGUAAUUGUGACUCAAGACUCCUGACAUUCAGAAAAUUCAAGAUCAAGUUGCACAAUUAUUAAGUCUCAGACUGGAAGAUAAGAGUACGGUUGUAAGAGCACAUAGAUUGUGCGAAAGGUUGAAAAAAGGGAAGAAGGUUCUUGUUGUUUUAGAUAAUACUUGGAAGGAAUUGGAUCUCGAGAAAGUUAGAAUUCCAUUUGGGAACCAACACAAGGGAUGCAAGAUAUUGUUGACGUCAAGAGAUCAAAAUGUACUCACCAAUGAGAUGGAUGCAGAGAAAACUUUUGCAAUUGGUGAUAAAGAAGAUUGGCUCUUAUUUAGGAAGACGGCCGGGGAAAUUGUUGAAAGCACUGAGUUGCGAUCUACAGCAAUUGAGGUAGCCAAAAGAUGUGCAAAAUUACCGUUGGCCAUUGCAACAGUUGCAAGGGCAUUGAGAAAUAAAAGCUUAUAUGCUUGGAAUGAUGCUUUACGGUAACUACAGAGGCCUUCCUCAAAAACUUCGCUGGGAUAUCCGCAGCCGUAUAUUCAGCUAUAGAGUUGAGUUACAAUCACUUAGAAAGUGAAGAUCUUAAACAGGUUUUCCUGCUUUGCAGUCUACUGCAUUGUGAUAGCAUCGAUUACUUGUUGAGAUAUGCCAUUGGUUUGGGUUUAACUAAUGGUGUCAACACCGUGGAGGAAGCGCGAAAUAGGUUGUUAACAAUGGUGAGUAACUCUUGUUUUUUACUUGAUAGUAACAUCAAUGACCAGUACUUUGAUAUGCAUGAUCUUGUUUUUGAUGUCGCCAUGUCAAUCGCUUUUACAUACAAUCAAGUCUUUGCAUUAAAUGAGGAGGAUGUUCUAAAAGAUUGGCCUGAUGGGGAGACAAUGAAAAAGUGGAACAAGAUUUGUUUGAAAUAUCAUAGGGUUGGAGAGGUUCCUGACAAGUUGAAUUGUCCACAGCUUGUUCUUUUCCUUAUUUGUAGAAAGGAUCUGUCCAUGAAAAUGCCACCUAACUUCUUUAGGGAAACAACAAAUCUUAAAGUCUUAGAUUUGACUCAGAUGCAUUUCUCUUCUUUACCUUCAUCAAUUUGUCUUCUAACAAGUCUUCGUACAUUGUGCCUAGAUCAAUGUGAAUUGGGAGAUAUAGUCAUUAUUGGAGAGCUCAAGAAUUUAGAAAUUCUUAGCCUUUGAAAUCUAAUAUCAAAACUCUAGCUAAGGGAAUUGGGCAACUAGUUAAGUUGAAGUUAUUGGAUUUAAAUGAUUGUACUAAACUCAAAAUAAUUCCACCAGGUGUCUUAUCAAGUUUGUCCAAAUUAGAAGAAUUAUAUAUGGGUGACACGUUUAUUCAAUGGGAAGCAGGGGAACAGGCCAACCAACAAAGCAAUGCUAGUCAUUGUCUCGUUUGACCACUUUAGAAGUUCAAAUUCCUAAUGCUGAGGCCAUGCUAGAAGGGUUGCUCUUUAAAGAGAUGCAAAAGUUGAAAAGAUACAAAGUUUUCGUAGGAAAGGAAUGGGAAUGGUUUGGUGAGUAUGAGUAUCCAAGGACUCAGAAACUCAAGUUAAGUACAAGCAUUGAUCAUUUGGAUCAUGGAAUUAAGUUGUUAUUGAAGAACACCGAAGCUCUGUAUUUCGAUGAACUUAAAGGUGUCAAGUUUGCAAUGCAAGAGUUAAAAGAUGAAGAAAGCUUGCUGCUGUUCAAGAAUCUAUAUAUCCAAAAUAUUCAAUGAUCAAAUAUAUCAUUAUUGAUAAUGGUGUCUUUGACACUUCAAAAUCUAUCACAGCUCAUUGGCUUUUGUUCUGAAGAAAAAAGCAGCUCUACCUCCACAGCUCAACAUGAUCAGUUGCCUCUUUUCAAUGAUAAGGUAUUUAUUAACUUCCAUCUUUUACUCAUUCUAAGGCAUAGGUUAAUCUUAUUUUUAAAUUCUUUAAGAUUCUUUCUUAUGAUCGACCAAUGUUCUCGGAUGUUAAAUUUGUAUUAUUUUAGAAUCUCCUUCCUUCACUUCUUUGCUAGAUGCCCCUGAAUAUCUAUUAUGAGUAAAAACAUACAUUGAACAUCCAUUAUAAAUAUAGAAGAAGAAAGCAAAGAUAAGAUUUUGUUUCCUCAAUUAAGCUUUCUAAAGUUAUAGGAUCUUUAGCAUCUUGUUGGAUUUUUCUUAAAAGAUCAGAAUAUUGAAUUUCCAUUCUUGAAGGCAUGAUGAUAGAGAACUGCCCAGAAAUAAAAGGGCUCAUAUACAAAUCUUUGACGGAAGGGAGCCAACGUUUCUCUAGUCAAGCUUUCUUCAACGAAAAAGUAGAUUAAUUAGCAUUCUUUAUUGAACAUGUUUUUCCCAUUGCCAUGCUUUUGGCCUUGAUUAUAGGAACAAAUGCUUCUAAAAUUUUCAUUAAUUGGCAUGAAUUAAUUACAUACAGGUUGCAUUUCUUAGUUUGGAGGGACUUUCUAUUUUCAAAUUGAGAAGCAUCAAGAUGAUAUGGCAGAACCAACCCGCUACGAAUUCCUUUGGCAAACAACCAGGAAUGAAAGUUCAAGAAUGUGAUGAGUUAUUGACCAUUUUUCCAUCUAAUAUGUUGAGAGCAUUUCAAGGACUGCAAAAAUCUAUUAGUGAACAAUUGUGUUUUGCUAGAAGAAGUAUUUGAAGUCAGAAGGUCAAAUAUGGAAGAAACAUGUGCUGCCUCCACUCAACUAGGAGAGUUGUAUAUUGUGGAUCUACCAAGCCUCAAGUAUAUUUGAAAAAAUGAUCCCAAAGGAAUUUUUACAUUUGAAAAUCUGCGGGUAAUAAGUAUUUGGCGUUGUUUCAAUCUGAAGAAUGUAUUUCCAGCCUCAGUAGCCAAAGUUCUUCCAUAACUUAGAGAUCUUCGGAUAGCUGGUUGCAGAGUGAAGGAAAUUGUUUCUAAAGAGGAAGGAUUGGAAACAGUUGUCACUUUUGUGUUUGAUCAAGUAUCCUACCUUUGCCUUUUGAACCUACCAGAACUCGUAUGUCUCUACUUGGGGGUGCAUGCCACAGAGUGGCCAAUGUUAAAAAGGUUAAAUGUAUUGGACUGUGGGAACAUGAAGAUACUCGGUAUAGAACGUCUUAGCAUCCCUGAUAAGACUAAGGUCGAUGGACAACUUGAGUCCACAUUAAUCCUUCCACCGCUUUCGUUGGCUAAAAGGUAUGCGUGCACCUCCACCUCAACUCUUCUCUCAAUUAAUUAAGAUGCUAACGUGUACAUGAAAAGCUAUUUGAUUGAUCCUUGUAAUGUACAAAAAAUCAUUUCCAUCAAAUGUGAUCUUCAAGAAAAUCAUUAAAUACUACCAAAUCAAUUUUUUAUUUUUAUAUUUAUUUUUAUAGGAAAUUGCAUAUGUCAAUGACUAACUAGUUGAAUUUAUAUAAAUUAAGUGGUAUGUAAUAUUUUGAAAAAUAAAUCACUUGCAUGUUUUGAUUUCACUCACAAUUUCAGAUGAGCAUUUAGUCACUUAACUUUUCGAAAACUUUUAUUUUUAGUCAUUCAAUAUUAAAAAAUAAUGAUUUGGUCACCAACAUUUGUGAAAGUUAUUUUUUUUAACACUUAAUAAUUAGAAAAAAAAAGUCAAUCAUUAGCUUUUUUAGAGAAAAAAAAGGUCAACCAUUGGCUUCUAACAACUGAGUGAUAAACAUGAACUUUCACAAAGUUUGAUAGCCAAAUUGUGAUUAUUUAAAAUUAAAUGACCAAAAUAAAAACUUAUGAAAAAUUAAUUGAGUAAAUGUGUAAUUAAAAUUGGAGUUUGUUUGAGUCCAACCCCUACCUUUAAUCGUGAAAACAAGUACCAAGACUUGCCUACUCGCAUAUUGUGUUUGUGUGUGCACUUAUUUUCUUUUUGGCUCCAAAACUAUUUUUUCAGGACAUCCCUAAAUUAGAAAAAUUGUCGCUAAAUAUUGAUGACAUUGCAAUGAUAAGUGAGUCAAUUUUCAAGCAGCCUUUUUCGUUAAAUAAAAGUUUUUAAGGUUUACAGCAACCCUGGUAAAUCUGUUGUUUCCCCAAGUGCUUUCCUUGAAAGAUUUGACAAUCUAGAAAGCUUGUGGUGAUUUCUUAUGAAUUCAAAGAGCUGUUCUGCAAUGAAAGAGAUAAUGGUAUGGAGACAUAUGCGGGGACACUGCCGAUGAUCAGAAGCUUAAAAUUGAUUCAUCUUCAUAAUCCCAAACAAUUAUGGAGGCAGGACGUACAAGUAGACCACAUUCCCCCGAAUCUGGAAACUCUUAAAGUCUGGGAUUGUGCCAAACUGAUUAGUUUAGGAUCAUCCACAGCAUCGUUCCAAAAUCUCUUGAUGUUGGAUGUGUGGAGCUGCAAAGCAAUGAUAUGCUUAGAUACAUCUUUAGCAGUCCAAAGUCUAGCCCAGCUCUAAAAAUUGAGGUUAAGACAGUGCAUUCCAAUGAAGGAAAUAGUUGGAAAUGAGGGUGAUGAAGCAACAUACGACAUUGUUUUCAGCAACUUGAAAAGUUUGGAACUUUGUGGUUGACCACAAAUUAGAAGUUUUUGUUCAGGCAACCACACAUUUGGGUUCCCGUCUUUAGAAAAAGUAAUUGUGAGCAAAUGUCCUGAAAUGAAGAUUUUCUGUAAGGGAGUUUUAAAUGCGCCAAUGCUGCAAAGAGUACAAGAAACAGAUGAAGAUGGUAAGGGACAUUGGGGUGGUGACCUUAACAGUACUAUCCAACAACUCUACGUCGAAAAGGUACCUAUGUAAGAAAUUAUUUAUCUAACGAAUUAAUUGUCUUUGUAAGGCUCUUUUUUGUUGCUGGAUGCUUUUGUUUGCUUAAUUUAACUUUAGGUUUUCUAUUUUUAUUUCCUUUUUGUUUGUGCGUACUUUUGAACUUAAUCUUCCUUUCUUUGAUGGAUUUUGUAGGUUGGAUACUAAGGAGUUGUGUAUGAAGUACUUUCCAAAUUUUCUAAGUCAAUAGAAAUAUGGAAGGACAAUCUUGAAGGAGUUUUAGAUUUUGUAAAUCUUAAAUAUUUGAAAAUUUACAAAUGUAAGAGCUUCAAGUCCAUUUUUACUGUUUCCAUGGUUUUGGAGCUUCAGCAAUUGAACGAGAUAAAAGUAAAAAAUUGCCAUAUGAUGGAGCAUAUUAUCACAAAUGAACAAGCAGAGGAAGCCGCAAUGAAUUUAAUGGUGUUACCCAGGCUUAAGGUUAUAAUUCUUGAGUCAUGUUCCAAUUUGAGGAGCUUUUGUUUGAGAAGUAUUACAAUGGAUGUCAGUCCAAUUGUUAAUAUUAUUAAAAAAAAUUAUUAUUUAUAUUGAUAUGAUUUUUUUACUGAUAUAGCAUUAAAUAUGAUGACUUGUUAAUAAUGAUGUGACAUUUUUUUUAUAUUUCACAUCAUUCUUUUCAAUGUUUUAAAUUAUGAAACACAGAAAUUUAAUUUUUUUUAUUCAAACAAUACUAUUUUCCUAAAUCCUAGAAACCUAUUAGUAUUUUUUAUUUGUUUCUUAUGCAAUUGUGUUUAAUAUCAUUAACUCACAUUGGAUAAUUCAAUAUCCACACUUAUAAAAUCCAUUUUAGUACUUGAUCAUGUCAUAUUGACAUUACUAUUACAUUAUUUUUAAAAUACUACAUCAGUAGUGUUAUGUCAUUAUAUUCAAUGUCACGUCUAAUAGCAAAGCUAAUAUUUUAUGUUUGGAGAGACGAAAAUAAAAAGUUCGAUGUUUAUAGAGAUAAAAUUAUAAAUUUUUUUUUAAAAUAGGGAUAAAAUUAUAAAUUUUAAAAAGUAAUAAGUAAAAAUUUUAAAAUUUUAACUGUGAGGCCCUACUAGCCCCUUCCUCUACUUCUAAUCAAAUCAAUAAAAAAAUACCAUGUCAACAUAAGCAAACGUCAUAUUAAUAUAAAUAAUAAAAAAUUUUAUCACAUUGAAUUGAUAUUGUAUUUUUAAAAAGUACAUAGAUUCAAUUUUUGAAAGUAUUAUAUAAAAAUUAAAUUAACCAUUAUAAUAUAAUAUAAAGACUAAUGUCAUAAUUUAAUAAAAAAUUUAUAUUCAGCCACCCCCAUUACACUUGCUCGAGUUUUUAAAUCUCGUGAUGCGACCGCUUUGUCGGGUAACCAGAAAAUAUCCUAUACAUCCCCACUUUCCAUUUAAUGGAUAAAGAAUAUACACUUGCCUCACAUGGGAAAUUGUGUUCCCUAAGGAUUUCUUUUUAUUGUGAAUUACACGACUUAUUAAAUUAAACAACAAUAAUAAAAAUUAUCUAAUUCUUGAAAUUAACAUAAAAGUCUCCAUCUAAGCUUGAUUCAACCUGAAAGAAAUAGUAAGCUCGGACUUAGUUAAAUUUAUAAAACUCAUAUAUAUUCACUAUUGACAUUAUAUUUUCCCUUUUGAGUUCUAAUUAACAUAUUUAAACUUUUCUGAUCUCUUUUAACUUUUUUUUUUAAAUGAGUUUUAUUUUUUCGUUACUUGUAAUAUUAUGACAAGUCUUUUAACUCAAUUGACAGAAUACUUUUGUGAGAUAGAGUACUUGGUGCCGGAAUUUAAUUGUACAUUUACAAAAGUUACACUGUGCAUCAAGCAGAGACAGCAAGCAGAAUCAGUAAAGAGUCCCAACAACGUCAACCAAAAAACAAAAGGAUCCUACAAGGAAAAGCAGCGAUAAAGCCUAUAAGAAUCAGAUCCCUCGACAAUACCCUGGAUGGGGCAAAACCUGAGAGGAGCUCCUAAAAAGUCUCAGGAGCACGGGGCUGAGACAAAGUCUCCCAUCCAAUGAGAAAUGAGCAGAAGACUGAGCAGACACGUGAAAUGCUUUCCAAUUUCCAUGUGCACUCCUUUGUAAUUAUUGGUGAGAGUGGGACAGACACCUCCACGUUUCCCCAACUUGAAUUCCAAUUGCAUCUCCUACCUAACACUUUCUUGUCUCUCUUCAUUUCUUUUCCUUUAUUCUAGUUUUUUUUUUUUUUGGGUAUUAGUUGUGAUGGCUUUGUAGGAUCUAUAUAUUUGUAUGCCACUAUAUAUUUGUCUUAUAUAAAAAAAGAAACUAUAUAUAUUUGUCUUGUCUGCCACUAUUCUUUUCUUUCUUCCGUUAAUCCAUUUUUUAAUUUAUAUUGGUAUGGCAUAGUGUUUUAAUAAUGAAAACUUAUGACAAGUCUUUCUUUAUAAUUGCCGAUUGUCAUGACUCGUGGGCUCAUGGGUAUUUACUGAAAUUUUAAGUCUUUCUUUAUAAUUGAUGAUCGGAAAAAUUUGAAACUUAAUGUGAAAUUAUGGUUAAGAAAAUGUGAGUGAAGUACAGCUCAAUUCAUCCAUUGAUUAUUGUUUGACAAGUUGCAUUAUUGUAUUAACCAUUAAUUUUGUUAGAGUGGUUAAUGACAUCUACUUUAACAAUAAGGGAGAAACCUUAAGUAUCCAUAUGAAUUUAGUCUAAUGUUACAUUGAAACUUUGGAUAUCAAUAUGAAUUUAAUCUAAUUUUAUAUUGAAACUUUAGUAAAGCUAUCUCAUUUGUAUACGUUUAAAAGAAAUAAAAAGGUGCAAGUGGCAUGAGCAAGUGACUAGCAAUAGUAUAUGUUUUAGAUGAAAAAGUUCAUUAAAGAAAAGAGAAGGCUUGCUCUGUUUAAAUCCCCACCCCCUCCCUCCUUUGGCAGAAAAAGCAAAGGUGACCAAUAUAAGAGAGGAGGUUAGACAAAUAUUAACAUUAUUCUUUCAUGGCAUUGAUUUUCACACUGACUUGGUAGAAUGAAAUUUCAGAGAAAUUACGCUGACCAUAUUUUAUUGAUACAACACGAGCUGCAAAUCUUGUACAAAGAAUAAAGAAAGCAUCAACAAUCACAUCAGUUUGGCAUGUUCAAGAGGGAGAGUGAAUUAAGCAUUAGACUUGGAAAGUUCAUUAAAUAACAUACCUUUUGAUCAACUUUCCAUAGUUGGAAAAGCAUAAUUGGAGCGAAUUUAGAAAAGUAAAAGAAUCACAUAUAUAUAUAUAUAUAUAUAUAUAUAUAUAUAGAGCUAUUCAUAAUGAUAAAUAAUUUUAUAUAAUUUGUUAAUCAAUAAAAAAAAUACUUAUAAUAAUCUUUUAAGAAAGUUGUGCUCAGUCAUAUAUAUUUUUUUAUAUUCAAAUUCAUCAAUUUUUGAUUAUGUGUUGAAAAAUAUCGAUUUCUUUAGAAUUGAAUCUUAGACGUUUUAAUUUACAUUACUCUUAUUUUUAAGUUGAAGUGUUGAGACUUAUUGGCUCAAAUGUAACAGAAUCACUUGGACGAUUUGCAUAUUUUUUUUUAAAUAAUUUAUUAAUUAUUUUCAACUUACUCAUACUUAGCCAAACUUCAAAAAAAAAUUAAUACAAUCAAUAUCUAAUAUUCUUAUGGUAUUUCUAUUUAAACUUAUAAUCCUAAAUAUAAAACUAUAAUGCAUAAAAUAUAAAAAUUAAAUAUGAUAUAUCAGAUUAAUAAUUUCCUUUUACAUAAUCAGGAUCGUUUAAAGACUAUAUAUUCAAGAUAAUUUCAUUUCAACUAAAUAUAAAACAUAAAACACAUAAAAAAAUACUCAAGAUAAACUCCUUUUAUAUAAUUAGGANAUAUAUUAAAAUUUAAAAAAUUUUAUAUGAUAUAGAAAAAAUUUUAAAAAUUUGGGGGCUGCUGUGUAAAGGAGAAUAUAUAUACUUCCACAUAGGACCAACUGGCAAAGCAUGAUUAAUUUGUACUAGUAAAUGUCUGGAGAUUGAUGAUUAGCCUUGAUCUGCCAUAAUUCAUUGAAUCACUUUGGAAUGGGGCGGCUCUGAUUUUGCCACCUUUUUCGGUCCAAUGGAAUCAUAAAGUUAGUAAUUAAAGGAGUGAAUGGAAGAGCAAGCCAAAAUAAGGAUGAGUCUUUUGGUCAAAAACCGACAACAGCUUAUUACUAUAUAAUUUUCUUCUUUCCUCUCUUCUAUAAACCAUGAUGGGCAAUGAAAACAGAUUUUAUUUGUUUAAUAAAAUCUCAUGACUUAAGGUGAGCCUUUGUUUGUACUUGAACGGCCGUGAAAAGCUGCGUGCCAGUUUCAUAAAACCCAGUCAGACACAACGUUUCUGCUCAACUCAUCCCUUUUACCUUACUUUAGCGUCCUUUGCUCUUCCAUUUCUCAAAACCCUUUUAUUUUCUUCCUUUGAUCUUCGAUUCUCUUUUCCUUUUCCUUUGUUUUUUUGGCUUGCUCCGUUGUUUCUUUCUCAUCUCUUUUCCCUUCACCUCAAGGUGUCGGCUUCUCACAUUCCUCUACUUUCCACCCAAUAAACCAGAAACCUUUCACUUUGAUUCUUAGUUGCCUCUUUCUUCAUAGCUACAGCUAAUGGAGAAAACCACCGUUUCCAAUUUCUUACCAUUCUGAUUAUUUGCCUUGCUCAUAUCGUUUAUUGAUAUAUUCGUCUUGCUGUUUUCAUUUUUGGGUCUUCUCGAUCCCCUGUUGUCUACUUCUUCUGUCAUUUGCUUUGCUUUUCUGUUGAAUUAAAAAAAUGGAACCUAUUCUUACUGGUGCUGCUGCCAACCUUUCUUCGGAAGCUGCAAAAGGCAUCUUCCAAGAUAUGAAACGUCAUAUCAGAUAUGUAAUCAUUUACAAGAAAAAUGUCGACAAGUUUGAGGAGAAACUUAAGAUGUUGAUAGCAAAAAGAGCAAGUCUGCAGCAAGAGGUUGAUGCUGCAGACAGGAACGGGGAGAAGAUAAAAGCGGACGUCCAACAUUGGAGCAACACAGUGGACAAGGUAAUCAAUGAAGAUGUGAAGAAAAUGAAGGAUCUUGAAGACAAAGCAAAGAACAAGUGCUUCAUUGGCUUGUGUCCCAAUAUCAAGUCUCGCAACCAGCUUAGCAGGAAAGCAGAAGAAGGUGUCGCGACUAUUGACGACCUUAUCCAACAGUGUCAAUUUAACGGAGUGGGAUACCGUGAUGUUCCAGAAGCUAUAUUGGACGCAUCUCCUAAAGACUUUGAGACCUUUAAAUCAAGAGAAAAGGUUUUCAACGAUAUCAUGGAGGCUAUAAAAGACGCUACUAUCAACAUGAUAGGGUUGUAUGGGUUGGCUGGUAUGGGCAAAACAUCACUAGUCAAAGAAGUUGCCAGACAAGUCCAAGAGCUUAAGUUAUUUGAUUCGGUGGUUACCGUAAUUAUGACUCAGACGCCGGACAUUCAGAACAUUCAAGAUCAAAUUGCAGAGUUGUUGGGUCUAAGACUUGAAGACAAGAGUACGGUUGUAAGAGCACAUAGAUUGUGCGAAAGGUUGAAAAAAGGGAAGAAGGUUCUUGUUGUUUUAGAUAAUGUUUGGAAGAAAUUGGACCUCGAGGAAGUUGGAAUUCCAUUUGGAAACCAACACAAGGGAUGCAAGAUAUUGUUGACAUCAAGAGAUCAAAAUGUUCUCUCCAAUGGGAUGGAUGCUGAGAAAACUUUUUCAAUUGGUGAUUUAGACGAUGAAGAAGCUUGGGACUUGUUUAGGAAGAUGGUUGGGGAUAGUGUUGAAAGUGCUGAGUUGCGAUCUACAGCAAUUGAGGUAGCCCAAAGGUGUGCAAGAUUACCGCUGGCCAUUGCAACAGUUGCAAGGGCAUUGCGAAAUAAAAGUUUAUUUGCUUGGGAGGAUGCUUUACGGCAACUACAGAGGCCUUCCUCAAGCAACUUCACUGGGAUAUCCGCUGACGUAUAUUCAGCUAUAGAGUUGAGUUACAAUCAUUUAGAAAGUGAUGAACUUAAACAAACUUUCCUACUUUGCACUCUACUGCGCCAUGAUUCAAGCAUUGAUUACUUGUUGCAAUGUGCGAUUGGUUUGGGUUUAAUUAAUGGUGUCAGCACCGUGAAGGAAGCACGGAAUAGGUUGUUAACACUGGUGAGUAACCUCAAAGCCUCUUGUUUGUUACUUGAUAAUAACCUCAAUGACCGUUACUUUGAUAUGCAUGAUCUUGUUUAUGAUGUCGCCGUGUCAAUCGCUUCUAAGGACAAUCAUGUCUUUGCAUUAAACGAGGAAGUUCUGGAAGAUUGGCCAAAUGGAGAGAAAAUGAACAAGAUUUAUUUGCGAUAUCCUAGUAUAAUUGGAGAGCUUCCUUCCGAGUUGAAUUGUCCAGAGGUUGUUCUUUUCAUUUUCUUUAGCGAAGAUCUUUCCCUCAAAAUGCCACCUAGCUUCUUUAACGAAACAAAAAAUCUUAAAGUCUUAGAUUUGAGUGAUAUGCAAUUUUCUUCUUUACCUUUGUCAACUUGUCUCUUAACAAGCCUUCGUGCAUUGUUCCUGAAUCGAUGUGAAUUGAGAGAUAUAACCAGUAUUGGAGAACUUAAGAAUUUGGAAAUUCUUAACCUUUCAUAUUCUGAUAUCAAAAUUCUACCUAAGGAUAUUGGGCGACUGGUUAAAUUAAAACUGUUAGAUUUAAGUCAUUGUACUAAACUCAAAAUAAUUUCACCAGGUGUCUUAUCAAGCUUGUCUAGAUUAGAAGAAUUAUAUAUGGGUGGCACCUUUAUUCAAUGGGAAGUAGGGGGACAUGCCAACCAACGAGGCAGUAUUGCUAGUCUUGCUGAAUUGAAUACUCUGUCUUGUUUGACCACUUUAGAAGUCCAUAUUCCUGAUGCCGAGGCCAUAUCAAGGGGCUUGCUCUUUAAAGAGUUGCACAAGUUGAUCAGAUACCAGAUUUUCAUAGGAAAGGAAUGGGAAUGGUUUGGUGAGUAUGAGCAUUCAAGGACUCUGAAACUCAAGUUAAGUACAAGUAUUGAUCAUUUGGAUCAUGGAAUUAAGUUGCUAUUGAAGAAAACUGAAGCUUUAUAUUUAGAUGACCUUAAAAGUGUCACGAUUGCAAUGCAAGAGUUCAAAGAUGAAGAAAGCUUAUCGCAUUUGAAGAAUCUCCAUAUCCAAAAUGAUUCAGUGAUCAAAUAUAUCAUUAUUGAUAAUGGUAUAGUUGAUAAAAAUGAAUUUCUUCAAUUACAAUCUUUGACACUUCAAAAUCUACCUCAGCUCAUUAGUUUUUGUUCUGAAGAUGAAAACGGCUCUACCUCCAGGGUUCAAGAUGAGUUGCCUCUAUUUAGUGAAAAGGUAUUUAUUACUUUUCAUUUUUCACUCAUUCUAAAGCAUAUGUUGAUCUCAUUUAUUAGUUUCUUAAAAUUUUCUUCUUAUGAACAGCCAACGUUCUCAAAUGUUAAAUUAGUAUUAUUUUAGAAUCUCUCUCCUUCGCUUUUUUGCUAAUUGAUCUUCAAUAUCUAUUAUGAGUAAAAACAUACAUUGAAUAUCUAUUUUAAAUUUGACACUCUACAAUCCGUUUAUAAAAAUUGUCUAGUGCUAUACUGAUCCUUUGUUAAAGUUUUAUGCAAGAGCCUAGCAUAAUUGUAAGAUGAGUGAGGGCAUAGUUAGAGAUCUUAGGUUUGAGAUUUUGUUCAUGCAGAUAAAUAAAUUUCAAUAUAUAUCUACAUUCUAAAAAAAAACUGAUGCCUUCUCCUCCAUUUAAAAAAAACAGGUUGCCACAUUGUGUGAAAGCCAUUUCCUUUUGUUUCCAUUUUUCGCUACCAUCCACGAUUGAUAAACCGAACCAUGUCAUAGUGCCCAUUUCAAAGCCUGAACAUCAACAAAACCCACUUCAGUGAUUGUUUAAUACAUUAGAAAUCACUUCUCCGUAAAAUGGAAGUAAUUAUUUCUCCUGAACUCAGUUGCCAUUGAAUUGGCAAACCCAUUCCUUCCUUUUUAAUCAUAGAAUGUUAUGUAAUUAUGCUAAAUAAGCUAGUCUUUCUUCUGUUGUCUUUUUCUUUUUUUUUUUUCACACAAUUUUUAAUCUAGAUUAAUUACUUGUCUGCAGUCGUUGUUCCCUUGCUUGGAGAAUUUGCGGUUGUCCUCAAUUAGUGUUGAAAGGAUAUGGCAUGAUUCUUUCUGCAAUCAUGAGAAUUUGACAAGUUUGAUCAUCGAGAAUUGUGGCAACUUAAAACGUUUAUUAUCAUUUUCUAUGUCUAGGAAGCUAGUGCAUCUCAAAUGCUUUGAGAUAAUUGGAUGCAAGUGCCUAAGAGAGAUAAUUUUUGCAGAGGAUAUAGAGGAAGAAAGCAAAGAUACGAUUUUAUUUCCUCAAUUAAACUCUCUAAAGUUACAAGAUCUUCAGCAUCUCAUUGGAUUUUUGUUAGAACGUCGGAAUAUUGAAUUUCCGUCCUUGAAGUCACUAAAGAUAGAGAAAUGCCCAGAACUAAAGGGGUUCAUAUACGAAUCUACAAUGGAAGGGAGCCAAAAUUUUUCUAGUCAAGUUCUCUUUGACGAAAAGGUAGAGUAUUGUUAGCAUUCUUUAUUAUCCAUGUUUUCCCAUUGCCAUGCUUUUGGCCUUGAUUAUAGGAACAAAUGCUUCUAAACAUUUCAUUAAUUGGCAUGAAUUAAUUACAUACAGGUUGCAUUUCUUAGUUUGGAGAAAAUUUCUAUUUCCAAAUUGAGAAACAUGAAGAUGAUAUGGAAGAACCAACUCGCUGCGAAUUCCUUUCACAAACUACAGGAAAUGGAAGUUGAAGAAUGUGACCAGCUACUGACCAUUUUUCCAUCUAAUAUGUUGAGAGCAUUUCAAGGACUGCAAACUCUAACAGUUCAUAAAUGUGUUUCGGUAGAAGAAGUAUUUGAAGUCGGAAGCUCAAAUAUGGAAGAAACAGGUGCUGUCACCAGUCAACUAAGAGAGUUGCAUAUUUGGCAUCUACCAAGCCUCAAGAAUAUUUGGAAGAAUGAUCCCAAAGGAAUUUUUACAUUUGAAAAUCUGCGGGUAAUAAGUGUUUGGGAUUGUUGCAGUCUGAAGAAUGUAUUUCCAGCCUCAGUAGCCAGAGUUCUUCCACAACUUAGAGAUCUUCACAUAAAUGAUUGCGGAGUGGAAGAAAUUGUUUCCAAGGAGGAAGGAUUGGAAACAACUGUCACUUUCAGGUUUGAUCAAGUAUGCUACCUUCGUCUUUGGCAGCUACCAGAACUCAAAUGCUUUUACCCGGAGGUACAUACGACAAAGUGGCCAAUGUUAAAAAAGUUAAAAGUAUUUGGCUGUGACAAAAUGAAGAUAUUUGGUACAGAACGUCUCAGCAUCUCAGAUAUGGCUAAAGUCGAUGGACAACUUGAGUCCACUUUAAUCCAACCACCGCUUUUGUUGGCUGAAAAGGUAUGCAUGUGCCUCCACCUCCACUCUUUCUCAACUGAUUAAGAUGCUAACGUGUACGUGAAAAUCAAUUUAACAGGCCCUUGUAAUGUACUAGCUAUAUUUCCAACUUUUUAUUAACAAACUAGAGUGCCAAAAAUAAACAUCAUUUUAAUCAAAUGUGAUCUUACAAAAAAUCAUUAAAUACAACAAAAUCAAAUUUUUAUUAUUGUUAUUAUUUUUAUAGGAAAUUGCAUAUGUCAAUGACUAGCUAGUUGAAUUUAUAUAAAUUAAGUGGUAUGUAAUACUUUAAAAAAAAAAAAUCACUUCCAUGUUUUGAUUUCACUCACAAAUACAGACGAUAACUUCAAAUUUGCUAGUUUCAAAGAGAAAAAGCAAAAAAAUAGUGUUACAUUAAACAUUUAGUCACUUAAUGUUUCAAAAAUUUCUAUUUAGUCGUUCAACUUUAAAAAAUUCUUAUUUUGAUCACUUAAUUGUCUGAAAAAUGUUAGUCAAUCAUUACCUUUUUUAAAGACAAAAGUCAACCAUUGGCUUCUAACAAUUGAAUGGUAAACAUUAACUUUUACAAAUUUGAUAACCAAAUUGUGAUUAUUCAAAAUUAAAUGACCAAAAUAAAAUUUUAUGAAAAGUUAAGUGACUAAAUGCGUAAUAAAAAAUGGAGUAUAUAUACCUUGUUUGAGUAUAAAUAAAAAGAAGUAUUCCAAAGUUUCAAAUGUAAUCUGAGUGUAUCAAGACUUGCGCAAUAAUUUUUAUUAGUACAAUAAUUUUUGCAUUGUUGAAAGAAGAACAUUGACUCCAAAACUGUUACUUUAUUGGUUUUCAGGUCAUCCCUCAAUUAGAAAAAUUGUCAUUAAAUAUUGAUGACAUUAAUGCAAUGAUAAGUGAUAGUCAAUUUUCAAGAAGCCUUUUUCGUGAAAUAAAAGUUCUUAGGGUGUGCAACUCUGGUGAUGAAUCUGUUGUUUUCCCAAUUACUUUCCUAGAAAGAUUUCAAAAUCUAGAAAAGCUUGUGGUGAUUUCUUAUGAAUUCAAAGAGCUGUUCUGCGAUGAAAGAGAUAGUGGUAUGGAGACAUAUGCUGGGACACUGCCCACGAUCAGAAGCCUAAAAUUGAUUUGUCUUGAUAAUCUCAAACAUUUAUGGAAGCAGGACGUACAAGUAGACCGCAUUCUCCCUAAUCUGGAAACUCUUCAAGUCCACCAGUGUGACGAACUUAUUAGUUUAGGAUCAUCCUCAGCAUCGUUUCAAAAUCUCUUGACGUUGGAUGUGUGUAGCUGUGGCGCAAUGAUAUGCUUAGUUACAUCUUUAGCAGUCCAAAGUCUGGCGCAACUCAAAAAAUUGAGGAUAAGACAGUGCAUUUCCAUGAAGGAAAUAGUUGGAAAUGAGGGUGAUGAAGCAACAUACAACAUUAAUUUCAGCAAGUUGAAAAGUUUGGAACUCUGUGAUUUACCACAAAUUACAAGCUUUUGUUCAGGCAACCAUACAUUUGGGUUCCCAUCUUUAGAAGAAGUAAUUAUGAACAAAUGUCCCGAAAUGGAGAUUUUCUGUAAGGGAGUUUUAAAUGCGCCAAUGCUGGAAAGAGUACAAGUAACAGACAAAGAUGGUAAGGGACACUGGGGUGGUGACCUUAACAGCACUGUCCAACAAUUGUACGCCGAAAAGGUACUUGCUCAUUUUAAUUUAUCUAACCAAUUAGUUGUCUUUGUAAGGCUUUUUUUGUUUGUGGAUGCUUUUGUUUGCUUAAUUUGACUUAGGGUUUCUAUUUUUUUUUUUUUCGUUUUUGUGGUUACCCAUGAACUUAAUCGUUCCUUUUUUGUUGGAUUUUGUAGGUUGGAUACAAAGGAGUGGAGUAUGUAGUACUCUCCGAGUUUUCUAAGUCAACAGAAAUAUGGAAAGAGAAUCCUGAAGGAGUUUUCAAUUUCGUAAAUCUUACAUAUUUGGAAGUUUACAAGUGUAAGAGCUUGAAGUACAUAUUUACUGUUUCUAUGGCUUUGGAUCUUCUGCAAUUGAAGGAGAUAAAAGUAAGAAAUUGCCCUAUGAUGGAGCAAAUAAUCACAAGAGAAGGAGCAGAGGAAGCAUCAAUCGUGUUGCCCAGGCUUCAGUCUAUAACUCUUAGGUCAUGUUCCAACCUGAGGAGCUUUUCUUUGGGAAGUAUUACAAUGGAAUGUCCAUCUUUGCAAUGUAUCGAUGCAGUUAAUUGUUCAAAAUUGUUAGCAUUGGCAUCUACAUUUGUAGGAGAGAAGGAUACAGAGACAGUCGCAGCCUUUUUCAAUGAUAAGGUUAGUCUCUGCAUGGUUUCUUCACAUUUAAAACGUUUUUCUUUCCGAAGUUUAACUUGUUUAUUUUGUCUGCUAAUAAUAGGCAAAUUUAAAUUCCAUUAUAAGAAUCAAAGUAAAGUUUUUGAUGCAAUAAGGAUUAUGUAUGUAGGUUGUGUGUCCAAAUUUGGAGAUUGUGCGACUAUCCUCAAUUGACGUUCAGAGAAUAUGGGAUGACCAACUUCCUGAAAUGUCUUCUUAUGUUCAAAAUUUAAAACAAUUGACUGUCAGGGGCUGUAGAAAUCUAGAAGAAGUUAUCUUUAUAGAAGGAUUACCAGAAGAUGGCAUGUUGAGCCAAAUAUUCCCUAAACUAGAAAUUUUGCAAUUCAUAGGCCUUCCCAAACUCGCAAGAUUCUGCCAUGGAAGUUACUUUGAAUUCCCCUUGUUAAGACAGCUUAUAAUGAAGAACUGUCCUGCAUUGAAGACAUUCAUCUCCGAUUCUACGGUGACAAACGAAACUCUUAUUUGUCAAAAAGCGAAAGGAAACAACUCAGAUAUUGAUUCCCCUCCUCUCUUUAGUGAAAAGGUGAUUACUCCAUUUGUCUUUUCUUUAUCACUCUUCUUUUCUUUUUUUUUUAUGUAUCCUCAAGUUUUAAAUGUUUGAUUCCCCUUUCCUUUGUUACAUUUUUUCCUUGUUAUUUAGUUGUUGAACAUGAAGAUCUAUGAUCUGCAAUAUUAUUGACACAAUCAAUAAAUUUAGCAGGUGGCUUUCCCUCAAUUAAAGAAAUUGGGAAUCGUAGGGAUGGCAAACUGCAGAAAGAUAUGGCCUGAUCAACUCGUUGGUUAUUCAUUUUGCAAGCUAAAUGAUUUGUGGGUGUACGAAUGCAAUCGACUGUUGAGCAUUUUUCCACUUAAUAUGAGGGCAAGACUCCAGAAUCUAGAGGAGUUCCGAAUAAGAGAAUGUGAUUCAUUAGAAGAAAUAUUUGAACAUGAAGUGCUCAAUACCAACGACUUACAUUCAGUGACUGCCACUCAAUCCAUUGCGGAAGAAACAACCACCAAUUUUGUAUUUCCUAAACUAACAUACUUGGAACUUUAUAUGCUGCCCAGAUUGAGGAGUUUCUGCUCUACGAUACAUACUACGGAGUGGCCAUCAUUAAAGGAAAUGUGGAUAUAUGGAUGUGACAAAGUGGAGAUAUUUGCUUCAGAAAAUAUUCGGAGCUUUGGAGAAUCAACAAAUCAACAAGCCCUGUUUUGGGUAAAUGAGGUAUUUGAACACAAAACUAUGUUAAACUUUUAAACAUUUGGUAUGCUCUUGAUUUUCAAUGUUGAGUCAAAACUCAAUCAAAUCCAGAUGGAUUUGCUUUUUUUUUUUUUUCUUAUAAUUCUCACAAGCAUGUCUCAGUAUUGCUCCAAUAUUGUAGCUUGCACAUAAGAUUUAUGUUAAAAUAACUAUAUUCACUCAAUUAAGGUGUUCUCGUCUUGCUUAACUCAUAUAGAUGCAUCAUAUGGCACUUUUAGAUUAGGUUUUAAGGAGUGUUUCGAAAAAGAUAAAUUAGAUGAGACAAAUUCAUGUACAUAAAAAUUUGGUAUUAGGCAAUUUGUCAGAAAGAAUUUUUCUAUACAAUGAUAUUCAGAAAACUCAAGCAAUAUAACAUUUGAAUUGUGUCUCCAUCAUUCUUAUGUUGCAUUCCCACCAUAACAUACACAGUGUGUCUCACUGUUGGCUUCAAGAGCUUAGUUUGUAGAAUAAAUGAAACAUUGACAUCUUUAACUUUAGUCUAACACAUUUGUUAAUUUCCAGGUUACAUUUCCCAAUCUGGAAGAAUUAAAAUUGGAGUGGAAUGACAUUAUGAAAGAGAUAUGGCAUGGACAACUUAGAGCAAACUUUUUCUACAAACUAAAAGUUCUUGAGCUCAUUCACUUUCCUGAUCAAUCAGCUGUUUUCCCACAUUGUUUUAUUCAGUCAUUACCAAAUUUAGAAAAGCUUGCUGUUAGUGAAGCUUCCUUUAGUCAUAUAUUCCAUUUUGAAGGAUUUGAUGGUCAGAAAAAUCAUGCAUCGGCAAUCACUUCGUUGAAUGAAUUGGUGCUGUCUGAACUUCCUGAGCUAACACAUCUUUGGAAGGAAGAAUACCACCCCAUACCAGCUUUCUGUGAACUGAGAACUCUUCAAGUGCGGGAUUGUGGCAAAUUAAAGAUUUUAGCGCCAUCAUCAGUGUCUUUUGAAAAUUUAACAACUUUGGAAGUUUCAAGAUGUCAUGGAUAUGUGAAUUUGAUAGCAUGCUCAACAGCUAAGAGCCUAGUGCAACUCUCAAGAAUGACCAUAACUGAUUGUGAGAUGAUAGAGAAAAUCAUAGCAUGUGAGUCUGAGGAAGUGAAAGGAGACAUUGUUUUUACUGAACUGAAGUAUUUGCAACUAAGUUGUCUACCAAAUAUGGCUAGCUUCUGCUUAGGGGAUCACAACUUGGAAUUCCCUAUCUUGGAGAAAAUGAUUGUGAGAAAAUGCCCAAAGAUGAAGAUUUUCUGCCAAGGAGAUUUAAGCACACCACAACUCCAAAAAGUGAUAUUGACAGAAGAUGGAGAUGAAGAAAAUGGGCAGUGGGAAGGCGAUCUUAAAACUACUAUAAAACGGAUGUUUGAAGAAGAGGUAAGUAUCAAUUUAAAAGUUAUUCUUAUGUUGCUUUGGUUUCUUAUUUUGAUUUUUCAGUAGCAUGCGUUAGCUUUUCCUUGUCACCCCAUACUUAUUAAAAGGUUGCUCAAAUGAGGAAACCAUACUAAUAUGUAAAGUAAAGCUGUUGCAGAAUUAAUUAGUUCAUUAAUUUAGCAUAGAGCUUCUAACUAUUUUCCUUUUUAUAAUGAAAAUUUACUAUAAAACUGUAGUUUUGGUGCUUUUCAUUAAUUUAAGGAACUCUUG
This 53559-nucleotide long non-coding RNA is filed under the name Theobroma cacao (cacao). RNAcentral's name for it is "long non-coding RNA (TCAC_LNC003603)". Lineage: Eukaryota; Viridiplantae; Streptophyta; Magnoliopsida; Malvales; Malvaceae. The record is from RNAcentral.